UGAAUAAUGCAAACAUUCAAUGAAAUCUUUGGCAUGUUAAUUCUUUGCAGCUUCAACAUGGUGGCAUGUCGGAUGGCGGAGGCAGCAUUUGAGCUUCUGGGUGUUUACCAUUUUUCACUAUGAACGCAGUUUCCAUGCCCCAAGUCACAUGGCGUUCUACAUGGCAGUGCAUGAACCACACUCCUGCAAUAGAGAAAAUAUACCAACAUUACACCUAACUUAUUGCAAUAUUAAGAAAAAUUAUUUCAAGGGUUUUUUUUUUAAUAGAGGAUGUGAGUGCUUGCAACAUACCAGGGUUGGAUGCCUCGAAUCUGAUUGCAACCCAACCAUUCGUAGGAACGGAGAUGGUACUCUGAAGGGGAGGAUCCACCAGAUUAUAGCGCAAAGGGUCCCUAUUUUUAUCAAAAUUCCCAAAUCCCCAUCCAACAAGGUAGAAACUGUAUCCAUGGAGAUGCAUGGGGUGGUGUGUCCCUGCAACCAAGUUUGUCCCUUGAAAAACAAUCUCCACUGUGGAGUUAUACUCGAGCACCCUUACUUCUGUUCCGAUUUCUGGCGUCUGAUACUCUAAUGGAAGAUAAUCAGCUGUAAAAUCGAACACUAGUGGUGGAACGCUAGGAAAUUUAUCUCCAUAUACACCACUGAUGUUAUAAUAGUAAGCUUGUAGUAUGUCAAUUGUAGGGGAUUGGAAGCUUAUGUUGUUUAUACUUGCGGAGAAUCGCGUCCCAUUGGGCCCUGCACAUGAAUUAUUGGGGCAUAGGAACGAGUUUACAGAAACAGUGUAAAUCAGUUUAGUGCUCGGGCUCAAUGGGACAUUGGAAGGAUGUUCCGCAUCUGCUAAGCUUCGGAGGCCAGCCAUGACCUGAACCGAUGCAUUUGUGUCAUUAUAUGCAGGAAAAUGAGGCAAGGAGAGAGGUGAAGAUGGAGUGUAGUAUCCUCUGUACUGUACAAUAGCUGUGGUGGUUGUGUUAUCAUAAAAAUUUUGAGCUACCGGGGCAAUGGAAUAAGUUUUAGCCGCCAUGUAAUAGUGAUCUGGGAGUUGGUUAGCUUCUAGUAAGACGUCGAAGGUUUGGCCAGGAUAUAUUGUGAUAUAAUCUCGUGUCAAUGGUUUCGUGUAGCUACCAUCUGUUCCAACCACUGUCAUUUUAUGCUUGGCAAUGGAGAAGAAGAGAGCCUCAUGCAAGGCAGCAUUGAUUAUGCGAAGUAGAUAGGUCUUUCCAUGAUCCACUCUUAGCUUGAAUGUGCCUGCAAUUAGAAAGGAAAAGUUGUAUACUUAUGACUAGCGAAAAGAAAAAAACAUUCCAUGAGCAUCCACCAAUUAUGAAGUGAUUGAUUAAUUAAGGGUGUAAAUUUGGCUCCAUAGUUCAAAAUUAUAUUUGGACUAGCCUUUUCUUAUGUGUUAAGUCAUGGCUCUACCAUCCUCAUAGCUAUAUUCCUCUUUCUUAGCAUUAAGUUUUAAAUAUGUUUAUAUUAAUAAGAAAAAGUAAUAUGGUUAACAUACAAGAAAAUGACAUCAAUGCACAAUUUUAAAAUGGAAAGUUAAACUUUAUACCGGAUUUUGAGCAUGGAUAUAGAUCACCGGGUUGUCCAUUUAUCAAUAAAGAAUCAGAGGCAUUAGGGUCAGCUCCGGUUGCAAGCCCUUCAUCUCGAACCGCAUUCACAUCACUCUUCCACCAUUGUCCUGCAUUUCAACAACUCCAAUAAUUUAGAUUUCGCUUUGUUAGUUAAUUCAUGAUAUGUAAAUUAACCUUUAAAAGGAACUACACUUAUACCUAAUAUGAUGGGAAUUUCUGCAUUAGGUUUGGGAAAAGGAUACUUGGUUCCAUUCUUGGGAUAAACGAUUAUAGCUCCAUGAACGGUGGCUCGGGUCCAGUCACUGUGAGCAUGCCACCAUAGAGUGCCUUCCUCGGAGGAAAGGAUGAUCUUCUGGCUAAACUUUGACCCUGGUUGAAUUGGGCAUUGUGUGAUAUACUCGGGACCAUCUGUCCAUGGAUAUCUAGGCAUAUUCACCCCAUGCCUGCAAAACAAUAACUAUACGUUAAAACUAGUACUAAUUUUCGAACUAACAAAAGAUGGCAUGUAGCAACAUAUUAUCAUAGUAACAAGAGGCAUCAACUGUAUUUCAAUGGAACCAAUGCAAAUAACCCUAAAAUAUUAUUUUAAAUUUAACUUUAUUUGCAAAGCAAUACAUUGCAGCCCCCUCUUAGAAAUAAAAGAAUGUAUGUCAUGGAGGCAUGCUGCCCACUGCUAUCUUUCUCCGAGACACGAUAGGACUUACCAGUGAAUGGUGAUAUUUUCUUUUCCCCUAUUAUAAACAUCGACGAUGAUCGUCUCUCCUUUCUUAGCAUAUAUAGUUGGUCCAGGAAAUUGUCCAUUUACUGUUAAGAUGUUCUUGGUGCUACAAAGCCUUGUAUAUGAAGCCUCCUUCACCUGCAACCAAUUAAAAGUUAACCAUGCAACCUCAUCCCAAAAGAAAUAUUACAAGCAUGAAUAGUUGCAUCGAUCCACUCAUGCAAGUGUAUAACCAAUAAGAAAUUGAAAGCAUGCAUGAACGACUCAAUGACACCAGGGUACCCGAAGACACCAUGAGGGUCAUACGGUGGAAAAUGAGAGCCAUACUGCUCCCUAAAUAUCAUGAACAAAAGAUGGUGUUAAGGCUAGAAUCAUAUAAGUAUUUACCACAAAAGUAAGCCGACGAGUUGAAGCUUGGCAAUGGAUGCCACCACCAAAAAGUAGAAACGCUAAAAUUUGCAGGAGGAAAACCUUCAUGAUCAGCCACAUCUUCUUUGGAAUAAAAGCCUCUUCUCUUGUCCUAAACACAACUCCUUCAAUUUUCUUACUAUUUCUAAUAAGCACGACUUAUCUUCUCUUUGACAUGAAUAGAUGAAUUCUUAAAGGUAUUUAUAGAGGCUGGAGAGAACCAAAACUGGAAUUGGUGAAAGCUGAACAGCCGGUUUCUCUCGAACUUUUGAUGUAUUUUUUUAAUAUAUAAUUCAUAAUCUAUUCAAGAUGAUUUUCCUGGGGUACAACAAUUCCUUGCCGCGUAUCAAUAUAAGAGAAGUAAUUCGAAUGUGUAUUGGUUUUGAAUGUUCUUCCAGGACCACUUCAAAGAGCAGGUUGUGUAUGAUAUUUGAUUACUCACCAAAAUUUAAAUAAACCAAAUGCCUGAAGAAUGCUAACAAUUGUGAAAAUUUCUCACAGCUCAGCUUCAAUCAGGCUGUGUACCAUAGAAGACGAGUUUCUUAGAAUCUCUUGAAUUUUCUAAUUCAAAAUACAAGUUUGACUUUGAGAAUUGACCAAGAAAUUAAUCAAACACAGUAUUUUAGAACAAAUAUAAAAUAUAUGUAGAAUAUUUUUAAAACUUUGACCUCGCAUAUAUACAGUACCUUUAUCAAGAUUAGUCAAUAUUUUUUCUUUGUUUUUGGUAGGAAGGGAAAAGUCAGCGCUAUAAUCAUAAUCCAUCAAAGAUACACUAUAUGCUACCAUGGGCGUACCGGCCAUUAGUAAUGGGCCAAAAUGUUCCCCAUGAUUAAAAAUAAAAUAUAAUCAUGGCAUAAAAAUCUUGACCCUCAUUUUCAAGAGGUGACUUUCUCCUAGAAAGAAUUAUUUUCCUUUUUAUUUUCUCAUCGGGAGAAAGUUGGAGAUUCACAUUGUUUAUAUUUUUAUAAUAGUUUUAGUUUAGUUUUAAAGCUUCCAAAAACUUCUCCCUUAUUUUUAUUUAUUAGGUUGGCUCAGUCCACUUGGGUACCCAAAAACAAACCCAAUAAAUAAUUAUUUAUUGAAUUGGGUCAAUCCCAAUAUUUUCAUAACCGAAUCAGACAUUGAAUUAGAAAAAUUAUCGAUUCAUACGUCACUGGUCAGACUAGUGACCGAACCGAUGACAUCAUACAUACAUAAUUUAUAUUUUAUUAAAAUUAAAAAUAAUUUUAAAAUAUAUAUAUAUAUAUAUAAUUAAAAAUUAAUAAUAUUUGCAAUAUUAUUUAUUCAUUUUUAUAUAAAUGUAUUAAUAUUGUUAAUUUAUUAAACAAAAUAUACAUAAUAUUUAAAUAUGAAAAUAUAUUAAAAUGGGUAUAUAUAUAGGUAGUCUUUGAGUCAACAUGCAUAACAAGAUUGGACAUCAAUUAAUUCAUUUAAUAAUUAUGUUGAUUAGUUUAAUUAUACUUUUUAAAAUAUUUAACUCAUAUUUGACACAUUUUAAAUUUGAUUUUAGAUAAAUAGGUUAAUCGAGUCAUAAAUAUAUUAGUCAUAUAAAUUAACACAAGACCUAACUCUACUUAAUUAUUAAAUGGGACAUAUGAGUUACACGAUAUGUUACUUGUUUAGUAAUUAUGUAGUAUUUUAGGUUUACGUUUUUAACCAGAUUAUUAUUCGUGUCGAGUUUGACACAACACAAAUAUGACCCACCAACACAAAUUGUAACCCCUAAGCUUGUUCACUCAAAAAGUAAAUUUAUACUAAUAUUUAAUUACCUAGUUUAAACUAGUAGAAAUAUUUUUAAAUUAUUGCUUAGUUUUUUUAAAAUUGUUAAUAUUGGUAUAUGUAUAUAGUUUCUCUAAAGACAUUCCAUUGAUGUAGAAUUCCAAAUAUAAUUUGUCUAUAUAAAUAUAUCAUAUAUUUUUAAUAAAUAUAUAUAUUGUAAGUUAAAUAUUAUAUUGUAUAAUAUGUUGUACUAUAUGCAUAACUACUAUAUUACUAUUUUACAAAAUAAAAAAUACACUAUAUAAUAGUAAUAUAUUAUAUACAUAAAAAGUUUUUGUGUAAAGUAUCGAACCACAUUUUAAUUAAUAAUUGAUUAUUUUAUUUUCAAAUAAUCUAAUUAUGUAUUUAUUAUUUUUAAUUAUUAAUAGCUAAUUUUUCAAAAGUGAUUUGUUAUUAAGAAUAAAAUCAUAAAUUAUGCCAUAAAACUAGUAAUUGUUAUAGAUACUAAUUUGUUAAGGAUUAUUAUUAUUAUUAUUAUUUACUUGCAUACAUUGUUUAAUAAGAUAUUUAAUUUAAGUUUUAAAUUCCUUACUUUAAAUUUUCAAUCUUAUUUUUAGUCUAAUUUUUAAUCUAUAAAUUCUAAUUUUUAAUUUUAAAAUUUUUAAUUCCUAAAUUUUAAAGGGGAAAUCAUGUAACCAUACAUCACCAAUAUAUAUAUAUAUAUAUAUAUAUAUGAGAUUUUUAGAACUUUGCUUUUACCUUUUUAAUUUUAAUGUAAGAUGAGAAAAAAUAUUUCCUAUUCAUGUACUUCAAUAGUGCUUUUAGAUUUGUUCCAUAAUUAUAAAGUAAAUGACAAAAUACACAUCACUUUAAUACCACCUAUUGACAAGUACAUGAAUCAUUUAUUUUUCUUAUUUCUCUCACACGUCUCACGUACCACUUGCCACAUUUCCACUUUUUUCUUUUUUCCUUCUUUCUUUUACCACCAUAAUCCAUAGUCACCUAUUAUAUUUUUCAUUCCUAUUUUUUUUUCCUUUGAUACUCUUUUUAAUAUGCUCAUAUAAACUUCUUUAAUUUAAAUUUUUUUUCACUCUCUAAUUUCUCUAUAUUUAUUGAUUAUAAUUAUUUUUUGGACAUAUUAUACUUAAAAUGAUAAUGUAUAAUAAAUAGUUAAUAUAACAAAUAAAAUAAAAUAAAUGUAUAAUAGACAAAAAUGAAAAUAUUAUCCCACAAAUAAUGUACUUUAUGAUUUUAAAUAUUAAUUAUAUUAAUAUAUUGAAUAAAUUAAGGUUUAAAUUUAAAUAUUUUAUUUUAUUAUUUAGAGGUUUAUGAUAUAAGACUUUUUUUAUAUUAAUGCUAAACAAAAGAUUUAUUUAUUUUGUAAAUUCUAUCACAUGAAAAAGUAAAAAUAUCUUUAUAAUACUAUUUUAUUAUUUAUAUUAUUUUUUAAAUUUUUAUUUUAAAUUUAUCACAUCAAAAUCACAAUAAGUUAUUGUGCUUUUAUCUAUUUUCUUAUGAUUUUAAUUUGAUUGUGGAUCUAACAUUUUGUUUGGUUAAAAUCUUUAAUUUUUAAUUAAAAUAAAAUAUAAAAGAAAAUAUAUUUUUCAUAAAAAAAAAUUGUGUUUAACCUUUCAUAUUAAUUUCAUGAAAAAUAAGUACAUCCGUGAGAAAAAUAGGUAAAUCCAUGCCUAGGGGAAUCGAGACCCCUAUCAUCCUUGUCAUGGUCUAUAUAUUCCUUUGGAACCCUUGAUAAGUGAUUGGAGGUCCUUGCCCACCCCAGAACGAACUUUGGAAUCCUAGGUACAUCCAUUCUUAAGGGAACCAAGACCCUUAUAUCAAUUCUCAUGGUUCAUAUAUUCCUUUAGGGAUCCUCGAGAAUGAAUUAUAGGUUGUUCUUCACCUUGGAUUAGACAUUAGAACCCAAGGUAUAUCCUAAAGACAAUUUGGUACAUUCGAUCCUUGGGCUACCAAAACCCCUAUAUCCCUUCCCAUAGUCUAUUUGAUACUUUGAGGACUCUUGAGAAGUGAAUGGAGGUCAUUUCUAAUCUCAGAAUGGACUUUGGAACCUUAGGUACAUCCUUAAAAAAAUUUGUUACAUCAAAUUCUCGGGCUAUUGGGACCCCUAUCUCCUUUCCCAAGGUCAAUUUGUUCAUUUAGGGAUCCUCGAGAAGUGAUUGGAGGUUAUUCCUCACUCCAAAAUGGACUUUUAAACCCUAGAUACAUCUUUAAGAAAAUCGGGUAUAUCUUAUCCUCUAGCUACCCAAUAUCGCUUCUUAUGGUCCAUUUGAUCAUUUAGAAUUGAUUUUAAGUUGUUCCUCAUCUCAUAAUGGACUUUGGAACCCUAGGUACAUCCUUAAGAAAAUUUGGUACAUCCAAUCAUCAGACUACUAAGACCCCUAUCACCCUUCCUAUGGCCCAUUUGUUCCUUUAGGAACUCUUGGGAAGUGAUUGGAUGUCAUUUUCCACCUUAGAAUAAACAUUGGAACCCUAGGUACAUCCUUAAGAAAUUUUGAAACAUCUAAUCCUUGGGACACCUAUCUCCCUUCCCAUGGUCCAUUUAUUCUUUUUAGAGACCCUCGGGAAGUGAUUGGAGGUCGUUCCCCACAUUGGAAUGGACUUUGGCACCCUUGGUACAUCAUUUACAAAAUUUAGUACAUCAUUUACAAAAUUUGGUACAUCAGUCACAAAAAUUGGUACAUCCUUAAAAAAAUUUGGUACAUCUAAUCCUUGAGCUAUUGGGACCCCUAUCUUAUUACCCAUGGUUCGUUUAUUCCUUUAGGGAUCUUUGGGAAGUGAUUAGAGGUUGAUCCUGAGCUACUUCGAAAUGGACUUUGGAACCCUAGGUACAUCCUUAAGAAAAUUUGUUAUAUCCGAUCCUUGAGCUAACAGGACACCUAUUAUAGACCCCUCAUUUUGACCAUGACACACAUAGGUUACCAUCUAAUAAAUCAUUGUAAUUCAUCGACUUGUAAUCUUUGAUUCUUUCUCAAAGCUUCUUGGAGGAUAAUUUAUAGAAAUUUUGAUGUGAUCACAUAAACCUUUGAAUUUGUAGCUUAAGGCCUUCUGAUUGUUCUAACUUACCAUUAACAGUAAUUUAAAACAAAAUUAUUGAAUCCUUAUUUUUAAAAUAUAAAGCAAAAUAAAUUACUUCUUUGAAUAAUAAAAAUAACUAAAAAGAUGUAUAUAAUAAAAUUUGGUAACAAAUUAAAAGUAGAUUUUAAUACAAACAACUUAACAUGAUUCAAUUUUUUUUAUUAAGCAUUAUUUUUCAAAUUAUAAAGGCCAAUAUAUGAGUAAUAUUCUUUCUCUUUUUGUUUCAUAAACCAUAAUUUAAAAUAAAGUUUUUACUAUUGUCAUUAAAUAUACAUUUUGAAACAUAAAAUACGAUAUCUCUUUAAAUAUUUAUUUAAUUUCGAAUGUGCCAAAAAUCCCCUUUUUCCAUCAAUUCUAACUACAACAACUGCCAUUCAAAAAUCCCAUGCCUAUGCUAGCCACAUAUUCACAAGUCGGACUUUUUUAACUUUUGCGGCAAUUUUAAAAAAUAAUUAUUAAAAAAUGGUAGUUGUGAACAUAUUGAUAGAUAUACAUCAGUUUUGGCUACGUGGAAGGUGUCUUUUGAAGAGACACCUUUCACAAUUUUUAAAAUCAUGAAAGAAUUGAAUUUAAGCUAAAGGUGUCUCUUGAAGAGACACCUUCUACAAUUCCAAAAAAUUGGAUUUAUAUUAAAGAUGUCUCUUGAAAAGACACUUUCCACAUGGCAAAAAAUCCAAUAUGCAUUAAAGGUGUCUCUUGCAAAGACACUUUCCACGUGGCAAAAAAUCCAAUAUGCAUUAAAGGUGUCUCUUAAAGAGACACCUUCCACAAUUUGACAAAUUUGAAUGUCUCAUGAAUUUGAUUUUGAAGUUAAAGAUGUCUCUUAAAGAGACACCUUCUACAAUUCCUAAAACUUUUAAUCUAUACAAAAUGUGUCAAAGGUGAAGGUGUCCCGUCAAGAGACACAUUCUAGAAUUCCAAAAAAUUAGAUUUAUACUAAAGGUUUCUCUUGAAAAGACACUUUCCACAAUUCCAAAAAAUCCAAUAUUUAUUAAAAAUUGUAGAAAUGAUUUUAAAGUUAAAGAUGUCUCUCUUCAAUGUAUGAAAAUUGUGGAAAGUGUCUCUUUAAGAGACACUAAAGAGACACUUUCAGUAUAAACUCAAUUUUUUUAAAAAUAAUGGAAGGUGUCUCUUCAAGAGACACCUAUAAUUCAAUUUUUGGGAAUUGUGAAAGGUGUCUCUUGGCACCUUCCACAAUUUUAAAAAUAUUGGAUUUAUACUGAAAGUGUCUGUUCAAAAGACACUUUCUACAAUUUCCAUUCAAAUAGUGAAAAAUUUCGAAUUUAUGUUGAAGGUGUCUCUUGAAGAGGCACCUUCCAUAAUUACCAAAAAAAUGGAAUUAUAUUCGGACGCCUUUCAUAAUUUUUAAAAAAUUGGGUUUAUACUGAAAAUGUCUCUUGAAGAGACACUUUCCACAAUUUUUUAGUGGAAAAUUUCAAAUUUUGAAAAGGGACAUUCUAUAAUUCCCAAAAAAUAGAAUUAUACUAAAGGUGUCUCUCCAAGAGACACCUUCCAUAAUUUGAAAAAAAAAAAAAGGGUUUAUACGGAAAGUCUCUUCAAGAGACACUUUCCACAAAAUAUAUAUAUAUAUAUAUAUAUAUAUAUAUAUAUAUAUAUAUAUAUAUAUAUAUAUAUAUAGGGUUUAAAUAACAAAUUAAUUAUAACUAUUUUAUAAUUAAAUGAAAAAUUUUCAUUUAAUUGAUUAGUAAAAAUAUAUCAUAAUUUUAUUCAUAGUGUUUUUAAUAUUAUUAAAAUAUUAAAAAUUUAUACAUUUAUCAUCAUUUAUUUUAUAAUAUAUCAUAAUUUUAACAUUAAAUAGAUUUUAAAAUUAAACAUGUUAUAAUCACAUAUCACAAUAUUAUCAUCAAAUAAUAUUUUAUAUUAUUUAAUAAUCAAUGUAUACUUAUCAAAUUUAUUUAUGAACUUUCCAAAAUAAACUAUGAAGCAAAUGUUCUUAAUUGAAAUGAGUGUUACUGGUGAACCCGUGAAUGUUUUAUUUUUUAUUUUUUAUUUUUUUAGAACUAGGAAAAUUGGAUGAAGACUAUGUCAAAGAAGCUUAUAUCUUCAGCCAGGUCUCCCCCAUAUUUGUUCAAGUCUAUCUAUCUCAACAUGAGGUGAAUCCAAGUCUGUGUUUCGAAUCAAAUAUCAAUUCAUGAUUCUUGCAUGCUGUCGUAAUAAAAAAUUUUGUAAGUAAUAUAAAAAAAGUGAGGAAGGAGGUUCAAUGUUGUAACUAUCACUACUUUAUAAUCAAAUUGUAAAUUUGGAGUGCUAAAGAAAGCAGCCGGGUUGUAAGUAUUUGGUUUUUCGUCUUCUAUGAACUAGUGCCUGCAUUAUGGCUAAAUUUCUGAAAAGCCAGUUUAUUACUACCUGCUUGUUUCUCUACCUUAAGAUUCUCUCAUUCUCUCUUCUAUUAUCAUUUCAAGCAGCAGAUAGUGACCACUGUCUAGGCUUUUGUGUAGAAACAAAAAGGCUCUGAUCCAUCAUUCAUGCAAGUGACCUUCAGUGAUGUUAUUCUCUUGUGUGGUCUUCUCAGCGAUGGCCCCAUAUCUCUUAAAUAUCCUUUUUGUCUCUAGUUUACCAUUAACCCUGUUUUGAUCUUCACUCUUCAUUGCCAAAACCGUGCUUGAACCUCACCUGGACGAACUUCACUAUUAGACAAGAAUUGAAUUUGAGGCAACACGAACCAUCCAUGUCGAUGAGAAUAUGAAAUUUGGUAUCAAGUGAAGUGGACAAAAUUCAAAAACAAAAACAAAAAUAAUCAAUGAAUUUUAAUUUUUUUUGCAACCCCCGUUUGAUUCCCAAGAAAAUCCAUCCCCCAUUCGAUUUCCGGGAAAAUUCAUCCUCAUUUGAUUUCCGAGAAAAUCCAUGCAAAACCCCCCAAAGAAAACAAAAAAAAAUGCUUUUUUUUUUUGCUCCCUGUGCUUUCUGGAUCUGUUCUAGGGGUCUCUUUCCUUUUGUGCCAUUGGAUUUAAAUUUCACGAACCCUAAAUCCACGAUUUUUGAGCUAGGCUAAAAAACACAACCUUUCCCCGCAAAUCAUGAUCAGAUUACCAAAUAGCAUCUUAUGUUUUUUUAUAAAAAAAAAUUGGACGGAUUUUGUAUCCUGUGCGCGGGCUGGACUGGUUCGGAUACAGUUGAAAGUCCCAGAGUAUGGUUGGGCCACGAGAAGGUGUUCCACUCUCUCAAUUUCCUGGUGAAUAGGGUUAGAUCACUAGUUUUUUAUGUUCCGUAGAAAUGUGCAGCGCCUGCAUCCAGAGAUUAUCCAACAUGUCUUACUUGAUAUGCCAAGUCUUACUUUCUUCACGACCUAUGCGCUUUUGGCAUUGUUCUGGGUAGAAAUAUACUAUCAGGCACGUGCUGUAUCUACUGAUGUACUGAGACCAAGUUUCUACAGAAUUAAUGCAGUGGUUUAUGCCAUUCAGAUUGCUAUGUGCACCUUGGAUUCGAAACUAACCGGUUAAAAACUGAAACCCCUGCAUGUGAGAGAGCAUCACCACAGGCCACGCGAGGGAGCUCGUCAGUCACGUUUUCCAACUGCCAUGCAUUCGGUGAAGCGAUUUUUUGAAGGGAAGUCUCCAGGAGAAGAAUCUUUUUCUGUUGCGGGAGGAGAAUUGACAUAGUCUCUUUUUCUGGGCGUUUUUUUGGAGGAGAGUUCAAAGAUCUUCUUUCUGUAGAAAAUCAUCACAUAAACCGAUUCAAAGAAUUCAGAAGGCUUCUCAUUAGAGCCAAGGUUCACCAUUCUAGAUCUUCAUGAACAUCUCCUUCAUAGUGGCAUUGGCACCCCGAUCCCUGUACGAAUACACAAUCAGCCUGGAAACCUCUUCUCCAUUCUCUGAAUUGCCUCUUCAUCGUUACGGACUGACGCAUUUUGUUGAUCAUCGAUGUCACCUGUGAACUGGAUCACACACAUGAAGAGAUAUCUAAACAUCUCAAUGGUAGGAACCUCCAUGAUUGAUUGAUCUCCAUCAUCUUCGUGAUCGUGCACAGUUCUGAAAGAAGAGACGAGAAUCUCUUCAUCGUCUUCACUCUCUAUGCUUAUAUCUCGAAGGUUAUCCCGGUUUCUAUGGGCAUCGAAUCUCCAUAGAUGAACUCGGAUUCUGCAUUGACCUGAAUCUCGAGCAUGCAUUAUUUCAUGGACGGAUAGAAGAAAAAGAAGAGACUUCCAUAUUGUGCUGCCAAACUUGGUGUUUUUCUUCAUUUAUUCUUCACCACAACAGUUGGACAUAAAGGUUAGUCUCAAUGAAUCUUUACCAUUUGAAUUGGUUUAUUAAUGAUUUUUAAGUUAUUCAUUGAUAAGGUUAAAGGACAAUGGAUGAAAUUGGUUUGUCGAUUUUGAAACUCAUGGCUGUUUGUGAUGUGUCGGUUACUAUGUGAAUUAAAAAUAAAGAAGGAUAAAUGCAAUGAUGGAAUAAUGCAGAAUUGGUUGAUGCCUUGUUAAUAUGUACUAUACUUUUUUUCUAUAUGUUUAGUGUUGUCAUUUUAGUUCUAAGUAAAAUAUUUUUUAAUUACAUUAGUAGCAAUGAUGGAGAAGUGAUAUAGUUGUGUUAAUGGAAUUGUAUGGCUGAAAAUGCUGUGUGAUCCAUGAAAUUUAUGUGGCUAGGAAAAUUAGAGAAGGAAUAGAGGCUGGCUAUGAUUACUUGUUGAAGUUUUAAAGGAAAUAUCUAGAUAUAUGUUAUGGAAUAAUGACAGUUGUAGUGAAUAAUGCACAAUUGGUUAUGGGAUAAUGUUGAUGAUGCUUGUUGAUUUUUUAAUAAAAGCUAUGUAUAAAAAGUGGAUGUAUAUCCAGCCAUAAGUGUUUUUAGUGGCUCUUGAUGAUAAGUAAUGGUGCCUUGUUCAUAUGUACUAUAUAUAUUUUUUUUCUAUAUGUUUAGUGUCGUCAUUUUAGUUCUAAGUAAAAUAUUCGAUUCCUUAAUUCUAAUAUUUAUUGCCAAUAUUUUCACUUUAUUCAUUUCUUCCCACUUCAUGAUUGAUUUUUUUGAAUACAUGUUAGUUUAGGUUGGGUAUGGACAAUUUGGGCCACACGAGUGUUUAUAGAAUUUGAUAUUUAGGAAACUAAAUGAUUAAAUGUGGAUUACUUGAUGAAUUAUGAUUGAGAUUCAGCUAUUUUUUUCUUUUCUUUUUUUCUUCAAAAUUUCUUUUCAUCUAAAUAAACCAUUGGAUAAUCACAUGACAAUUGACUUUGAAUAAACUCUCUUGAUUUUGAUUCAUGGAAAUUUGAUUUAUCUUAAUUUUCUUAAAUAAUUCACACAUAUACACUUACAAUUUUUUUGGUAAUCCAAAUUUAAAAAUAUAUAUGAAUUAUUUUUCCUUUUGAAAAUUUUUUUUAUACCUCAUUCAUAACAGAAUUAAUCUUAGUCUCUUUUAUAAUGAAUUGUUUUUAUAUUUAAAAUCUAUCUUACUCUCUUUUAAGUAUGAAAUUUCAAUUUCUAAAAAGAAUAAUGCUGCCCAUUUUUAUUCGGUAUGGAACUUUGAAAUGUUUUAAAAAUGAAUUUUGGUUUUAAAUGUACGCGAAUUAAAAUUCAUAGUUCCAACUAAUGGAUUCUUUAUGAACUAAUUCAUGUAGAUAAAAAUGGGAUUUAAUAAAUCCCUACAUACAAAAAAAUUUCAAAAAUAAAGUUUUCUAUUGACACUAUUGACAGCCCAGUGCAUAUUUGAACUUGUAAAUUAUAAUCUGACCAUUUAUAGACUCCUUAAAAUUUUUAUAAUUAUUCCAUGAUAUUCUAACUCUUUGAAAUUAAUUUUAGAAUUUUAUUUUGGUAAAAAAUAAUUUCCCAAUUAGAAGAUAUAAAUCAAUCUUUCAGAAGGUUCAGCUUUCACUUUGUUUUUGAUACUUAGUUUUUUUUUGUAAAAUUAAAUUACUAAAAGAUCUCUUUAAAUUCAUUGAAUAUUUUUCGCUUAAUCUAGACCUCCUAAGUUUAAUUUUUGACACAUAAAAUAUUAAUAUAUAAUUACUAAAAAGGGAGAUAUAAUUUUUUUUCUUGAACCUAUUGCACCUGUGCUCUGCUGGAGCUGAAUGAAGUUUACUUAUUGUUAAACAUAUUAUGAAUGUAAUAUUGCCUUGUGAUUAUUUUUCAUUCAAAAUAGACAUGUUAGGCUAGUUUUACGAAUUUUUAUUUUUAUUUUUUAUGAUUUUAGGACAUCUCCAAAUUAAUUUAAAAAAAAUCAAUUGUUGAAUACUUUAACAAAAUGCCCUGUUCUAAACCUACUAUUAGCAUUAUGAAAUCUGGUAUUAAAUGAGAGCUAGUUGAUUAAUUUGAUCACUUGGAUGAUAAACUAGACGUAUAGAAGAUAUUCUCUAAAAAUUUUCAUGAUGAAAUUUAACUUCAAGAUAUUUGUUUUAGAUUUAUUUUGUAGAAACCCCUGGUUUCAACCAUUUGCUAUUUUUUUUUUUUUGCAAAGAAACCCUCUUGUGAAUACAUUUGACAUUGGUUAUAUAUAAGUUUAGUUUUUGAUUCCUUUUUGAAUUCAUUGCUAUUAUUUGUGAAUUAGUCUCAUUUCUAUGAAAGCACUUUAAAACGCUUGUUAUGAAAUAUGUGACUACUUAGAAUACAAUGUGAUGCUAUUGCUUGUUAUUUAAAUUUUGUGUUUUCUAGAAGCGCUUGGAAUGCAAAUUAGGUAUGCUUUUCUUUAUUAAAUUGGUGAAUUAUGUUGAUGUGUUUAGUUAGUUCAUAGUGUAUAUGAAUUAAUCAACUAAUCCUCAUAAUUAUCUCAACUUAGUAGAGAUCUAGUUUUUUAGGACUUAGAGGGGUGUUGCGGUUCUUUUCCGUACCUUUCCAAUAAAUAAUCUGACUCCUGGACCCAACUUGGUUUUCACAUACCCGUCUUUUCUUUUAGGAGUCACAUUUAGGGUUUUUUUUUCUUAUUUUGUUUGUCUUAAAAAAAAACCAAAGUAAGUGGCGACUCCUUUAUUUAUAAAAUUAAUUUUUCACAAACAAAAAGUGAGCCUUGCCAUCGAGUGGGAACGCAUGUGAAAAUACGGGAUCACAAAGUGGCAACUCCACUAGGGAUCUUAGAGGGUCAAAGCUUGAACUUAAGUUAAAGUAAAUUUGACGUUUAAUUGCUUGAUUAAUGAAUACCCUUUCUUUGCGCCUUUGUGUGAUUGUGUGAUUAAUGGCACAUUGAAGAUUUUUUGAUGCUGUAAAUAUCUAUGAUAGAUGCAUGUUAGAUGAUGAUGUUUAUUUAUGAUUGCUUCUCUUGUCUAUUAUGUUUUUCUUAACAUGAUUGAUUGUAUUCUUAUCACAUGCCUAUUAUCCCUUAGCAUGAUGGUUGAUCUAGUUGUAUGUUUUAUUAGAUUAUUAUGUCUUUGUUUAAUUUGAAUAUAGUGAUGGAUGAUUUAUACAUGUAUUGCAUGAUUGAUUGUUGCAUGACUACUCUUCUCUUAUGUGAUUGCUUGUUGCAUGUUCAUGUAGACGCACUUGUAUCCCCUUAACUCCAAUUCUCUAAUUUUGGUCGGCUUUGUUUCCCUUGAUCUUGUAUUAUAUAUGGGUGUGGACCCACAUUUUUCACGCGCACCCCCACUUGAUCAACGAGACUCGCUUUUAUUUGGUGAAAAAUUUAAUUUUGGAAAAGUUAGAGUCGCCACUUAUUUUAUUUUAUUUUAAAGGGAAAAUAAAACAAGAAAUAAAACCCUAAAAAAUGACUCCAUAGUUUUUGAAAAAACACGUGUCUUUGAAAAACCUGAGUCUAGGUCCGGGGAUCAGGUUACUAAUUGGGAAGGUACUUCUAGAAUGUAGCACCCCUUUAAGCUCUACAAAGCUCUCUACUAACCAAGUUGAGGGAAAUGUGGAAUUAACUAGUUGAUCAUGGAUACCUAGGUAGGCUAAGGUGAUUUCAAAAUUAGCAUGCCAAAAAAGAAAAACCAAUCAUACUCAUAAAGGAGAUUUAGGGUGCAUACCUAGACUCCUUCUUAAGCGCUAUCACAAGACAUCAAAAUUAGUUUGGAAAUAUAGCACACAUGUGUUUUAUCCAAGAAAAUCAAGCAUACAUCUAAGCACCUAAGGAUCACAUCAAGCAUAAAUAAGACUCACAACAACAUGCAUGUUCAUAAAAUUUUGAAAAGUAAGUGAUAGAGAGCAUACCUAGAUAGCAUGCAUAAUUUAUAAGAUUCCUCCAAAAAUGCUAGAGUGAUUAAGACAAGUAUGAAUUAUAUAACAUAUUCAUUAUGUCUAAUACACGGUACCAAAGCCAAAAUUGAGCCAAGGUAAGUCAAAUGACUCCAAAAAUAAAUAACGAAUUCAAGCAAUGUACAAGAUCAUCAGCAUGUAAUUAGAAUAGGGAGCAUCAAAAAAACAAUUUCUAAAAAAUGGAUUAGAGUAGAAUUUAAUUACAAAAAAUUUCACAAAACAACUCCUACACAUCUAGAUCAACAUACCGAAGGCCAAACUCUCAUUCAAAGGAUAGAUUGUAGCAAAGACACCUAAAGGUUCUACAAAUUCCAGAUUAGAUAAGAAAAACUGACAUGUGUAAAUGAAUUUUUUAAAAAUAAUAAAUAAUCACAUAAAAUCAUACAAAAAAUCACACACAUAGUUCAAAGUGUCUAUAUCACAAAAAAAUGAAUCUAGGGUCGGAUAGUACUCAAAAAUAUUUUUAAAGCACUCAAGCUAAUCAGAUGUCCAGAAUUCAGCAUGUGCAAUAGGUACGACUUUGAAAAAUCAUAUCUCCCUUAAAGAAGCAUAUAUUUUAAUAGUUUAUAUCUCUAAGAUCAAAUUCAAGAAGCUUAUAAUUAACGAAAAAUAUCAAAUUAAAUUUAGACAGUCGUCCAUUAUUUUAUUUUUGCAUUAUCCAAAACUGGGUGAAAACAGAGCCCUCCUAAAUUUUCAGUUAUAUUUUCUGUUCUGGAAUUGUUUUCUAACUCAAACGAAACUUUAAAUUCAAGUUCAAGGAGUGAGGAAAGUCAUACAAGCUUUGAAUUUUUUUUUAAAAUAUUCUAAAAUUGCUAUAAUGAAUUUAACUCUAAAAGGUCAAUGGUUGAAUGAAAACUGGCAGCAAGGAAAAAAAAAAGUUUUUGAAAAUUUUUGCAACACUAGAAUUUUCCUCUCAAAAUGGCUGAUGCGUUAGGAGAAUGUCCUCCAUAAGGUAUAAAAUUCAGAUUUACAAAAUCAACACUAAACUCACGAUGGGUAGCUGGAAUUUUGAUGUUAUCAAAGGAUUGAAGAGGAAUUUUAGUGGGUACCAUGAAGUACUCCCUAUCCUAGACAGCAAAGAGGAUGAUGGUUCCAAUAAGAAGAAGUCAGGUAUAUGCAGCCAAAAGGUAAUUAGGAAUAGGGAGCACGUGUCUUUUGAAGAGUCAGAGAUUACCAUCCAUAUUGUGGAGAUGAAUGAAUAACAAGUCAAAUCACAGUAGUAUUCUUGAAAUCCGUUUGAUUUCAAAGAUGAAUGUAUGUUCUUAUUGUAGCCAUGCAUUCUCAAUCACUUCUGCAUAUAUUUUGCAUGUAUUGACAAAUUCAAGGCUCGUGGGACCCUUCACGUCUAUGAACAUAUUCAACCGUGGGCGAAUUAUAACUCUUCUUCGGAAACACCCAUCAUCACACUUCCGGCCAAGUCUCUUGAUGCUGUGUGGUCUCAAGAUUCCCCCUCUAAAAAUCUGUUGAAUCUGCUUCAUUGGCGCGUGUGUGGGCUGUACAAAGGAGUUUCUAGAGAUACAUAGAAAAAAUGCGGAAGUGGCUGCUGCCUCCUCCCAUAUGGCUGCGUCAUGGCUGCCUCAUGCGAACAUGGUGGCCUUAUUGUGUCACUCACUUAAGGUGGCCUUGUGAGCUACUAUCAAUGGAGGAAAGAAGGUGACUAUGAGGCAUCAACCCUCCUCGUGCAGUCCAUGCGGCUGCCACUUAACAACAGAAAAAUCUGCUUAGAGAACUCCUUCACCAAAAUCUGCUGAAUCUGCUCCCGAAAAUCCCCAGAUAGCCUCACCAAAACCAGAACCUGUGUGGACCUUCCUUCUCAAAAAAAAAUGGUGCCUCUCUCUCAAUCUUCUAUCCCCCACAAAAGACCACCAGCCUGUGUCUCCCAUUCCAAUCAACUGAAAGAAACCCAAGCUUUUAAAACCCACCCGACUGUUUUCUUCCCGUAUUCAUCCAAUGAACCAGCAGUUUCAGAACACAUUUGCUGACCCCUGAACUCGCAUUCCUCACCUUCUCAAAGUGCAACCUGCUGCCAAAAGAGGAGUGUUGAAGCUUCACUAACUUCACAGCCUCUUAAACUUGCAAUUGCUCCCAACAGGAUGGCACUUGGUGUUGUAUAUUGCAACAAAAGCAUAAACCGAUACAUUUGAUCUCUGGAACCAAAAAAAUUCAUCUUAUCAUCUAAAAGAAUGAUUCCAAUUCCAAUCGAAGUACCAAAAGCCUUGCAACACUAAUUCCAAUUACAGUCCGAAUUCCAAGUUUAGAUUCAUAUGGACCCUCAACGAGCAUUCCUCCAAGGAUAAGCAACACGAAUGGAAUUGUUGCCCCAGCCAAGAUUGAUAAGUUGUCUGUGAUAAAUGAAAGUGGAGCAUCAUAGUCAAAAACAAAAGAUUUGAGCUGAGGAAACAUCCCAAUAAUAAUGGCUAACAGAGAAGCAACUGUAGGAGGUUGAAGUAUGUGCUGAAUUGGUGUUUGUUCAGCAACGAUCCUAAUUCUCCUAACCACCUUCGGCUCCACCAAACACCUAAUGGACUCGGGACUGUUUGGACCUCCCUCCUCCACUAAACCAACAUCAGGAAAAGUACUUGGUGAAAUGCUAGAGAUUCUGGUAAAGACCCUUGCAAUAAAGGGUGUCUUACAAUGCUCGCUUUCUUUAUCUUCCAUUCCUGGCCAUUUAGCUUCAACAAGCAGCGGCCUACUUAAAUCGUUAGCAGUGACCACCUCCUUAACCUCAUUCCCUUCGUCAACAAUUUCAUAAUACUCAAGGGGUGGUUCCAUCAUGUGGUAUGCAAGUGUGUAAACAAGAAUUACAGCAACCCACUGAGCAAAAGAAACAUAAAACACACCAGAGGUAUGACAAUCAGGACCAAAUGGGUUCUUCGCACUGUGGCAUAUUGACCCAACAAUGGCAAGCGGGAGAUUACCCGUGUUCCCAAAUGCAGUCAUGAUGAUGGUAAACCAAAAGAAUUCGGGUGGUGGCUGGCAUAUUAUUGCCACCAAGUACCUCAAAAUGCAACCGACAGCAGUACUGAUAAUGACGUUUACGGGUAUGAACCACCAGAGGACAAAAUUCUUGCCAGUAAUGGAUUGUCCCAAUUGGGUGAAGAUUAAGCAUAGUAGGAAUAGGACAAAAACAAGCUUGCUGAGAAGCCUGAAAGUAGCUUUUGACAUAACUUGGAGUUUUGGAUGGGCGAGAAUUAGGCCUAUGACAGUGAGUGAGAGCAGUUUCAUCAAAGGCACAACUGCUGAUAGCCAAUUUUCUCCACCAGAUUUCACAUUCCCAUCUGAUAGAUCCCAGAAGGAAUCCAUUUUUUUCCCUCUGUCUAAGAGGAAAAAUCCCAAAAGGAAACUUCCAAUGAAUUUGACGAGCUAAGCAAAAAAUCCGAGAAAUCCCUAGAAUUAACACUAUAUUCCAACAACUAAAUUUCAGACUCCAAUACCACAGACGAGAGUCCAGGAACACCCAGAAAAGGCCGGAUCCGGAGUGAUGGAUGAAAAGGAUUGGUCCACUGAGUGAUUGAUUUUCGGGUGGAUAGUUAGCGAUUCAUCGCCUCACCACGGGGUUCAUCUUUGACGAUGACUGACUAAUUGAUAUUGGUUGGUACAUCUAUCAGCACUUGACUCUCUUAUUUCACUGUCUUUUAAACCUUUAGAUGAGAAUAGAGUGGCAGUAGAGGCAUGUGGGUGCGCGAGAGUGGCGGGUAGCCGAAGGUGGUGGCAAACGAAGUGGUGUGUGGUUGCACCUCCUCUUCCAGUUUUGGUGCUGCCAACCGUGCCCUCUACUGAAAGAAAACCCCACUUUUCCAAAAGCCCUAUAUAUAGGAAGAUCACACAAAGACAGAUUUGCAUCAAAAGCUACGGAGGGCCUGGAUUGAAUUUUUUAGCAGCCAGCAGAAGAGCAUUUAGCAAAGCAUCUUUAGCUCCUAACUGCAAGUAAUAUCCUUCAUUUUGGAUCUUCCGCUUAAGAAUCUGGGCAGCGAAGAACUCGACUUCGAAAUCAGAAAGAAAGGAAUGAUGAUGACGAUGAUGAUCGGAAGUGAGGAUGGAGGUGACGACAUCCCAAGAAAGGUUAGUAUGCUGGAACUGGACGAGCCACUGAUUAGCAGCUACGCGGUUGCAGGACUGAGAGUCAUGAUUGAGGGCGUGAACAGCCUAGGCGGCCUUAAUUUGCAACUCCAUCUACGUCUCUCUUCUAAAUAAGCAACGGACGAAAGAGAACCAUAGAAAAUGAACGAGGAGAGACCGAUGCCUGUAAUUCCCCUUAUUUCCUACAGGCUCCUUAGAUCAGACGGUUGCUGCCUCAGAUCUGUUGCACUGAGUCUUAGAUAUGUGCGUGGGUUUCAAAUGUCUUAUGGAGUGCAUGAAGUGAGGGGGAUGAGUAGCGGAGUAGUGUAAUUCUUGGAGAAGAAAUCAAUCUGACACUGGCAAAACCACUUAGAGACAUGUUUGCUAGAAUGGAAAAGUCAACCCUCGAAAGUGUUUUUCUGGUGGCACGCCUGUUAAUAUAGAAACCACCCAUUCUUGAUCAAUGAAGGAGCGAAUCAGAUUGAUCCACACAAACCCCAAGGCAAACUAAACUUCAUGGAUUUUCCCUUCUCAGAUUCUUCAGAGGCGAGUUGUGCGCUGGUUAUGGGUCCAGAAACUGCAAGCAAUCCAUGAAGAAUCCAAAAUCAACAGCAUCAUGACCUUUAACGGCCACUCCAAUCAUCCAAACGAAUAUCAAUAAUUGCAAAUGGAAUAAAAUUUGAAAGGAACAUGGAUGUAAAAUGAAGAACUUGUCUUAGGAAGAUGCAGGCUGACGAAUAUCCCCUUAAGAAUCCCAGUGAGGUCCUCCCCCUGCUCCUCACUCUUCUUGCAACAACUCUCCUUCUGGACGUCCUCCUUUCCUUCCUAAAAGAUCAGCCAACCCUCUUAUCUUCAUUUUUCAGCCUGUGCUCUCCUCCCAACCCUCUAUUGCAGGCACAUACAUCUCCUUUUUCAGAAUAGCCAGUCCAACCUCCCUUCCAAACUCUCCAUGAUAUCUUCCUAAAGAGCGCCUCCUCAUCCAAAAACAAUCUCAAAGUUUCCAAAGAGAUUCUUAAACCUUCCAAAACCAAAAAUCCCUUUCGUGCAUGAAUAUCCCCAAAAAUUGCUCUUUGUCUGCAAUUGUGGACUUUCACUUGUCUUCCUUUCUAAAAAAAAACCUCAAACUCCGAUCUCUUUCCCCAAGCUGUGUCUAUCUUCAAUUGCUUCCUUAUCUCUUAGAGCCACCUUUCCUUAAACUCUCCCAAAACUUCCACACCUAUCUUCCAUACAUUUCCUACAAAAUUUCAAAGUUAAUAGAUUAAAUAAAAUAAUAAUAAUAAAAUAAUAAUAAUGAUAAAAAUGAGUAAAAGUAUUAAUAAUAAUAAUAAUAAUAAUAGUAAUAAAAUGACAAUAAAAAAAAUUAAACCAAAUUAUUAAAUUAAAAUAAAUAAGUAAGGAUAAGUAUUACAGAAAAGUGACAAAAUAAUAGGAAAAUAAAAUCGAGGAGGUAAUAGACAAGAUAAUAAAUAAAAUAAACAAAAAUAUAAUAAAAAGUCAAGUCAUGUGAUUUUACAAAAACGAGCCAUGCAAAUCAUGCAAGCCAUAUAAAAAAUGCAAUCUAUACCAACCAUGCAAACAUGCAAAAAUUACCUGAAAGGUGACCUAAGUGGGCCUAAGGUGUUGCCUAAUGGGCCAAGUGUAUCUAAAUGGGCCUAAGGUGCCUAAGUGGGCCUAAAGUGGUGCCUAAUGGGCCAAGUGUACCUAAAUGGGCCUAAAGUGCCUAAGUGGUGCCUAAUGGUCAAGUGUAUCUAAACGGGCCUAUGGUGCCUAAAUGGACCUAAAGUGGUGCCUACUGGGUCAAGUGUACCUAAAUGGGCCUAGGGAGCCUAAGUGGGCCUAAAGUGGUGCCUAAUGGGCCAAGUGUAUCUAAAUGGGCCUAGGAUGCCUAAGUGGGCCUAAAGUGCCUAAGUGAGCCUAAGGUGAUGCCUAAUGGAUCAAGUGUGCCUAAAUGGGCCUAAGGUGCCUAAGUGGGACUAAGGUGCCUAAGUGGGCCUAUGGUGCCUACGUGAGCUUAAGGUGCUUAAGUGGGCCUAAGGUACCUAAGUGGGCCUAUGGUGCAUAAGUGGGCCUAUGGUGCCUAAGUGAGCUUAAGGUGCCUAAGUGGGGUUAAGGUGCCUAAGUGGGCCUAUGGUGCAUAAGUGGGCCUAUGGUGCCUAAGUGAGCCUAAGGUACCUAAGUGAGCCUAAGGUGAUGCCUAAUGGGCCAAGUGUGUCUAAGUGGGCCUAUGGUGCAUAAGUGGGCCUAAGGUGCCUAAAUGAUCCCAAGUCUAAAUAGGGUUGCCAAGAGUCACAAUGGGGUUAGGUAAAUCCCUCAACCAAAGUCCCCAAGGUGGCUUAGAAAAGAUAGGCUACACGAGUAGUAAUGAGCCACCAAGGAAUUGUUGUAAAGUAUCAAACAAAUACCUAAUAGGACAUGUUCUAGGAGGACAAAAUGGAGGGUUUACAAUGGGACUUGUUAAUUCAUGUAUGCUUUCGAUCAAGCUAGAGACUAGGAGUAGAGUCUAGUAACGGGUUAUAUUAAUGUUUGGGUGCACUAUGGAGAUAGGCAUGUUAAUGCCAAUAGUAGUCCUAUCAUUGAAGACCUAUAUGACACAAAACUAGAUUGAAUGGAUACUCGUGUGGCCAGUUUGUUCCCUUUAUUGUUUUAGUCACAUAGGUUUUUCGGAAGCACCCACAUUAUUCUAAAUGUACACUUAGAUUAACCCUAAAUGUUGAGAAAUGUAAAAGCUUUACCUAUAGGAAACCCCAUGGGAUGUGAGGAAGUGCAUGUGUGGAGGUGAUGACCACCUUGCAUGGAAGCACCUUAUCUCUUAGGAGGCGUGCAAAAGGUUACAUACCAUCAGAGCAUACGAUCACCUUUGCUAGGGAUUCCCUUAACCCACCUACUUAAUUUUUUUAGGGCCACCUUCUUACCAAGUGGGUGGAGAAAACUUCUUAUACGAGAUUGACAUUAGCCAGAGUUGUUAGCUUCAUCAUAUCACACAUCAUUUGUCGUUAUGGAGUCCCACAUGAGUUGAUAUCUGACAAAGGAAUGCACUUCAGGGCAGAGGUUGAUGUUUUAUUACAAAGAUAUGACAUUUAGCAUCAUAAGUCGUUUGCGUAUAGACUGUAGACUAACGGGGUAGUAAAGGCCACAAAUAAGAAUAUUAAGAGGCUUUUGUAGAGAAUAGUUGACACUUCUCGAAACUGUUCAGAGAAGCUACUUUUGGAAUUAUGGGCUUAUCACACUUCUUGUCACACCUUUAUAGGAGCCACACCCUAUUCUCUAGUGUAUGUUAUAGAGGCAGUGCUACCAGUUGAGAUAGAGAUGAGAUUUUUGAGAGUAGCAUUUGAGCAAGAGAUAUCUGAGGUAGAUUGGACUUAAGCACAUUUUGAUCAACUUAGUCUUCUUGAUGAGAGGAGAUUGAGAGCAAUAGAACACACCUGCUUAUCAGAGGAAGAUGCCCCGUGCUUUUAGAAAUCGGAUCAAGCCUAGACCAAUACUGAGAGGAGAUUUGGUUUUGAGAGUUCUUAGAGGCUCGGUUGGAGACCCUAGAGGGAAGUUCAGACCGACUUGGAGUGGACCAUAUGUCAUUAGAGAGUUAACCCCAAAGGAUGCAACAUGGUUGAUGGAUCUAGAUGGAAACUAAUUCUCAGAGCCGAGCAAUGUAGAUUAGUUAAAGAAGUAUUAUGUUCGAGACUAUGGUUGCAGGAUGAGUGGCUUAUACCCUAUCACCUUUUGGAUAUUUAAACCAUUGCUAGCCCUUUGAGCCUCCCAUGAUCACUAUAGCCUAUUCUUUUUUAUAGCCUUGUUUACUUUUUAUACUUGGGACCCUCUAAUGUACAUAUGCUUUAUUUAGGAAUUUCACGAGUCUUGGACCUAUUGAUAUACUCUUUCCAUUUGUUUUGUCAUUAUCAUGAUACCCUAUUUUAUUCUCACUUCCAUUGUUUUUGUUCUUUGUUAUGCCUUUUUGAUACUAUUUGAUUUAUCUUGUUUCUUCUCAUACAUUGAGUGAUGAUCUUUCACAUUUCAUUAUAUGCAGAUCAGUCAUAUCACCACUUACAUUCCAUCUCGUAGACAUUAAUACAAAGGUCUUUGGUUGAGAUGGUCAUUUCAUUAGGGAGAGCUCGUCAUUUUUUGGAUCACUAUUUAAGAGUAUAUUCAUACCAUUGUAAAUAUAUAUGUGCAUGAGAUGUAUUACUCCAUUGAGCAUGUAUGAGAUAUUUGAGAGUUUAUUAUGUGGAGUUCAUUGGUUGAUGAGAUUGCAUGAGAGUUUGUGAUCCUCAAAUUUAUCUUGUAUAUGUUCCGAGUAUGAGAGAUGGGUGACUCCUUCCUAAAGACUCUAAAUCAUUAUCUCCUUCCAUCACUUUAGUCACCGCUGAUUUGAUCGCUUUCUAUGUUUUGUCUUGAGUAGAUCGAAGCUCUUCUGAUUCCUUUUGAUCUUAUCUGUUCUUUAUAUUCUUCAUCAUUCACCAUACAUUCAUCGUUCUUCAUUCAUAUCUAUCCUCAUUCCAUGAUUGAUAUUCUCUUCACAUUAUCUCUCUUUGUAGCUUGAUACUCACUUCUAUUCCUUUUCUCUAUCAUCGUUGAUUUUGCUGAGACCUUUUAUGUCCCACCCAUGCUCACAUCGGAUAUCUUUAGGUUCAUAGCUUAUGAGAUUAUUUAUGCAUAUUAUGUUUUGUACAUGAGGGUCUGAGUUUGAUCAUUGGGUAUUUGAGCCUAGUUUCCUUUCAUUUUUUUACCCUAUUACCCUAGCCUACAUUUUGUCUUGUGUCUUAAGACCACUUUGAGGCCAUGGGUUCGAAUAUUAGCUUUAACAACCUCUACUUGGGCAAGCGUUUCAGAUUUGGUUGAUGUGUAGGCAUUAUCAUAAUCUUUCUUUUGGGGAAUGUUUCUUCAAUGUUUGGAGUUAAUUCAUGAUGGAUGUAGAGGAUUGCUUGAUUUUAUGGUGGAUGAGAGAUGUUUUCUGACUUCCCAUUCUGUUAUAUUUCAAAUGUCAUACUGCAUGGGGCAUAUCCUUUUUACGUCAAGAUUGCUAGUCUAACAUUGGUUUUCACUUUGUUUCAUGAUGAUGGUUGUUGAUUUUGACUAUUUGAUUUCUUUACGAUCUUUAUUGGAGUUACAUCUCGAGUCAUUGGGUGAGACUUACACUUUCUGAUAUCCUCGCUAUUUUCGAUGGAAUUACCCUAGUGAGGUAUGCUUCUAUCCAGGCUUUUAGUGGAUUAGUUCAACUUCAUUAUCAUAUCCCUUGGUGGAGUUCCAUCUCGAGUCAUUGGGAUGAGCUUACACUUUUUUAUAUCCUCACUUUUUUUAUGGAGUUACCUUGAUGAGAUGUGCUUUCAUCCAUACACACAGUUGACUAGUUCAGUAUGGCUAUUUCUGAUCAUCAGUGGAGCCUGUUUGACCUAAGAUGAUUGGUUGAUGCACAUAUAUGUUCUGAGUCAUUUGAUAAUUUCAUCCAUAGAAAGAGAUGUGAUGAGUUGAUAUCAUUUGGUUAUCCUUAUGAUUUUGCAUUAGUUGCCAUACUAGGACAUAAUCCCCUUUCUUUUGUUGAGAUAAGAUCAUAGGGGAUCAUUACCUUUGAGCUUGGAUAUUUUCCAUGGAUCGGAGAUUCUUAGUGAAGUUGAUUCGUGCCCAAUUGGUGUCUCAGCUAAUUCGUAUCCAGCUGGUGCUCCUUGAUUGAGGGAGUAAUCAACAAAAUUUAUAACCUAUUACACCAUCUACUAGGGUAGCAAAGACAACGCUACUAUAGCAUAGUGGCUCUAGGAUUGUUCACUGGGAUGGGUUUUCACUUCACAAAUGAUAUUAAUUCAAAGUUGAAUUGGUGCCUUUUCAUUUCAAGGUUAGCUUUAAAAGAAAACAUAAACUUGAGUUGGAAAAUGUUUGGUUUUAAACUAACCACAAAUAGUAACUGAUUUUACUUACAAAGAAAAGUGUUUCUUGGAGUUUCAGAUCACUAGGCUCAGAUUCCUCAUACAAAAAGGGAGUUCCAGUCACUUGUUUCUUUUCCUCGCAUUAGAGAAUUAACAUAUAGUUAAUUCUCUAACCGGUGUUGUACAGAUGCUUCCCAUUAAUGGGUUCAAACACUAAAUCCCUCUCACUGAUGCACCUUGCAAUGGCUCAUACCUCUCACCUAGCAUUUACCAUUCAAGGUGAUCUUUAACCUUGGAUUACCCGUCAAAAGCUCGCAAGAGAUAACUAAUGGAUGUCUCCUUGGAGUCCAAAAGCUUACCAAGUGUUGGCUAUUCUAGAAAAUCCUACCUUCAAACCACCUCCCAAAAGCUCGCAAGAGAUAAACUAGUGAAUCUCCAUGGACGGAGAUCACUUGCCUUACCAAGUGUUGGCUCAGGUGAAUUGAAGACGUUUUAAGUUAACUAAAAAGAUAAAAACCAUUAACGGGUCACACUUUCUCUUCAUUAAAAACUAAAACAAAAAAACUUCCAAUUUAUGCAUGUGGAAACUUACCCGGCUUUCCUCACUCCAAGAGACAAAGAGCCUAGCCUCUCAUCCUCUGAGGAAAAAUCCUCAGAGUUUGGUUGGCUAGAAAUAAAAAGAAAUGAAAAUGAAAGAGAAGGAAAAACAGAGCAAGGCUCUGUAUAUUCUAUAUAUUUAUCUAUAUAUAUCUUUUACAGUGGAUGCAAGGGAAUAUAUAUAGAGACGUUUUUCCAACCUUCCUAACUAAGAAAUCUUAUGGUUGGUGGAUUACAAGGAGAAUAAUAGAAAUUUAUACAAAAAUAUCUGAAGAAAAAUAUCCAAAAAUGUCGGUCGCAAAUAUCUGGAAGCACGCGGGAGAAUUUCACAGGCGCACAAAAUGGCUGCGAAAUUUCGCAGACGACCAAGAUGGCUGCGAAAUCAUUUCGCAGCCAAAGGCUGAUUUCGCAGCCCUGCGAAAUUGGCCUUCAGCUUGGAGUGAUCUGCUUCCAAUGGCUGUAACUCCUUUAUUUCAACUCCGAAUCGCACACUGUUUGAAGCAUUGGAUUGUUGACUUCCUGAGCUUCGAAAUGACAUAUAGCAUGCAUAAAUUGAACUUCAGGAAGUGCUGCAAAAGUGGCUGACAUGACUGUCAUCAAGAAUGCUUCAUGGCAGAUUUCUCUUUGCUUCCCCUCCUUGCAUUCCGGAUUUGCUUAUGGCAAAGGACUUCAAAGCUUCAGUUCUUCAUGUUUCUGAGCUUUCCAUUGCUUUUCCAUGGAUUCCAAAGAACUCUCCUCAAUCUUGGAUUGCUUUGGUGAUCAAAAGCUAUCAAAACACCAAAACUUAACACAAUUUGAUUAGAAUUGAUUGCAAGGGUCCUUAACAUGCCAAUUGAGUUAAAAGGUAAUAACUACUACUCAAAAGUGUUUAAAAGAGUUAAUUACAAGCUAUCAAAUAGCACUUUUUGAGUAGUAAUCAGAAGUAUUUUGAGACAACAUUAGUUUUGAUGGAGCAUCUUUUUUGAGAUUAUGACAGUUUUCGCCAUCAUGAUUCCUUAGCAAAGUGUUUAUAAGAUGGAUUGGUUCAAUUAUUCUACAUUCCAGUUCCUAUGAUUAGUUGAUGCACAUAUAUCUUCUAAGUCAUUUGAUCAUUUCAUCCUUAGAGAAAGAUGUGAUAAGUUGGUAUCAUUUGGUUAUCCCCAUGAUUUUGCAUUAGUUGUCAUACUAGGGCAUAUUCUUUUUUCUUUUGUUGAGAUGAGAUCACAGGAGAGCAUUACAUUUGAGCUUGGAUAUUUUCAUGGAUCAAAGAUUCUUAAUGGAGUAUUUUGAUAUAACAUUAGUUUUGAUAGAGUAUUUUUUGGGGGGAUUAUGAUAGUUUUCGCCAUCAUGAUUCCUUAGUGGAGUGUUUUUGAGAUGGAUUGGUUUGAUUGUUCUACAUUCUAGUUCCUUAGUGAACCAUUUUUGAGAUAGAUCAAUUGGUUGUUUUUGAGUUGGAGAUAGUCUUUAGCAGAGUUAUCUCCCUGAGUGACCGAUUGGCCAUAUUGAUUUUUUUAUUGAUGAGCUAAUGGCAUUUUGGUCCCUUAGAGUAUUUUUAGAUGAUCUAUCCUUAGAGUAUUCUUGAUGUUAUGGUAUUGCCAUACUAGUAGUACAUAAACCUUGCAUAUUGGGGCAUAUUUCCCCCAUGUUGAGAUUAUUGAGAUCAUUACUUGUUCAGCUUUCAAAGCAGAGGCAUUCAGUGUCAUCUUUCAAAGCAUAAAUCAUGUGAUUGAUCACGAGUUUGUGUAUCGCAUCCUCCUUUACCAUCAAUUCAUCAGCUUUUAGAGUAGAGGCAUUCAAUGUCAUCCUUCAAAGUAUAGAUCAUGUGAUUGAUUAGGGGUUUGUGUAUCACAUUCUUCUUCAUGGUCGAUUCAUCAUCUUUUAGAGUAGAGGCAUUCAGUGUCAUCCUUCAGAGUACAGAUCACGUGAUUGAUUAUGGGUUUGUGUAUCACAGUCUCCUUCAUGGCCGAUUCAUCAGCUUUCAAAGUAGAGGCAUUCAGUGUCGUCCUUUAGAGUAUAGAUCAUGUGAUUGAUCUGUUUUUUUUUUUACUUACAUUUAAAAAACAAAAAAUUAAAAAUGAUUUGUUUUUACUAGUUAUUUAUAUUUAAGGAAGUAGGAAAGGUUUACUCCAAUGCUAAAAAUAAAUAAAAAUAAAAUAAAAUAAAAAUUGAGGGUUGAAAAGUAAUUAAUCACUAAAAAAUAGACUUGGAGUUCCUUUGGUGUGCGAUUAGACUCAAUUUGUCCCCAUGCAAUGGAAAUGGACGAUUUUUUAUUUUUUAUUUUUAUUUCCUUUUCCUUUAUCUUGGUGUAGUCUUGUGAUAUUGUUACUAAAAUAGGAGGUAAAAAUAUAAAUUAUAUAUCAAUUAUUUUAAAUUUAGAAAAAAAUGCUUAUUUUAAUUUGAAAUAAAUAAAUAUAAAAGAAAUGAUUUUCUCUCAAUUGUGUAAGACUUCACAAAAAUUUUCUUAUUUGCAAAAUAUUUUGAGUUGUAAAAGUAAAAAUUAAAGAAAUCAUUUCAUGGUCUUUUUCACAAGUAUCCAUUUAGAUCAUAGUCUAAUUUUAAAAUAUUUGAAAAAUCCAAUUACUCUAAACUAUAUCAUUUAUAAUUUUUUAAAUUAUUAAUAUGAUACCUAACCUUGUAUGGAAUUGGAAUAAAAUAUGGAUAAGUAAAAAAUGUCAAAUGAAAGAUAAUUUCAAACUUUUCUAAUACAGCUUCUCCCUUAAACUAAUAUAAUAAAUUAAAUGAUAAAAUUGAUUUGCAUAACAAUAAACAAAUCAUAUGAUAUUCCCAAUUUAUUUUAUAAACUAAGGAACAAAUCAUAACAUUUUUAGUAAAAUAUUAUUUGAUUCACUUUAAGGAAUUUAAACAUUUUAAUAGUUUUAAAAUAGAUGAAAAACAAAUAAUAAAUUAUAAAAUGGUUUACUAUACUAUUAACCCUUACCUUGAAGAAAUCGUUCAAAAUCCCAAAAGACUUAAUCUACAUCUAAUAUAAAUAUAAAUAAAAAAUAAUUAUUAAAGACUAAUUAUCUAAAUCAACGACUUCCUAAAUUUUUUGUAAAACUUAUUUUAAUUCCAAACCCUUUUCUAAAAUUCUAUUUUUUUUUAAUUAAUUUUUUUAUUAACCAUAUUAUUAUUAUUAUCAUUUUCACUUCCCAUAAUUAAUCAUAGGACAUAGGACAAUUGAUAAUUGUUAUUACAUAAAUCCUAACUCUAGAGCACCUCUUUUGUGUAGUAAGGCUAAGCUUGAUUCUACUAAGCUCUAGCAUAGAAGACUAGGUCACAUAAACUAUAGGGAUCUUGUGGACUUAGUGAAUAUUGAAAAAGUUAGAGGUAUCCUUAAACUUAGUGGCAAACCUAAACCCAUUUUUGGUGAAUGCAUGAAAGGAAAAAAAAACUAAGGGUUUACACAAAAAGGUUAAGGAGAUAAGGACCACUAGACCUUUAAAUCUUCUUCACAUGGAUCUUAUGGGUCCAAUGCGAAUUGAAAGUAAAGGUGGCCAGAUAUAUGUCCUUAUGGUAGUAGAUGAUUUUCCAAGAUACUUUGUGAGUUUUCUUAGGGAGAAAUCAGAGGCCAUACAACAUUUGAAGUUUUUAUUUAAUAGAAUACAAGUGGAAAUAGGUCAUCCAAUUGUAAGAAUUAGGAGUGAUAGGGGGAGAGAGUUUGACAAUGUUGAAGUUAACCUCUUUUUUUAUUCUAAAGGAAUUAAACAUGAAUAUUCAACACCUAGAACUCCUCAGCCAAAUAAAGUAGUUGAAAGAAGGAAUAAAGUGCUACAAGAAAUGACAAGAGUGAAGAUUCACAUACAGAAUACCCCUAAAAAAAAUAUGGGUAUUGCUUUAAUACCCCUUAAAUAACUGAAAGUCUAAUAGGGAACACCCAGAAGGGGAAAGGGAAUGAGGGAGAGGGGGGGUAUGAAUGGGUGAUUUAAAAAAUUCAACCAAUAUUUGUGAAUUAUAAUCAAUUUUUCUUAUCCUAAGAUGUCAUAAGGAUAACCUAGAUAUUCAAAAAGGAUUCCAUCCUAAUAAAAAAAAAACUGAUUUUUAUGAUUAAUUGAUAUCCAAAGAUUAACAAUAUAUGUUGAAGAAUGUUAUGGAUAAUAAUAACCACAAGAAUAACCAACCUAACAAACUCAACAACCAAUUAACCAAUCAAUCCAAUAUAUUCAAUAUCUUCAACUAGAAUGUUUGUAGGAAAAAAUAUAAACUUUUUAGAAUAACCUUGGAAGAUAUUAGGUUAAAACAAAUUAACCUAUUCUAGGCAAUUAAAAUGUGAUAUCAAAUAUAAAGAGAUAGACAAUGAGACACAAGAUUUUUAUGUGGAAAAUCCUCACAAACUAUGGAGAUAAAAAACCACGAGGUCUAAGACCUAUUAAUCGAAAUCCACUAUUUGAAAUCAAGUCAGACAAAUUUACCUAACCAUUUUACCCUAAAGACUUACUCUCCAAUACUUACAACUUGAUCCACAUCUACAAUGUAGCAAAUACUUGUUGCUCCCUAGUAGAUCCUUUGGUCCCUUUGAAGGGAUUACAAUCUUCAACCAACAAUUCAAAAAAUCGAAUCCUUGAAUGAUAGAAUGAGAAUGUUGUGGCAAUGAGACUUUUCUUACCAAAGAGUACCUUUAAAGAAUGAGAGGUCUCUAACAAUUCGAUCUCUACGAUCUCUAAUCUCUUAGCUUGAAUCUCUAACCCUCAAAGGGUUACAAAGGAGGUAUUUAUAUGUAAAAACCAUAAGGAUUUCGGUAUCUCAAGUUUCGAAAUUAGAAUUAGAUUGAAAUUCAUUCAAAAUACUUUUCUAAACUUGGUAAGACUAUCAUGACCACUAGAGCAUGCUUGUGUCGCUUGAGCGGGAUUAAUCACUUGAGCGGUCUUACUUUUUUAAAAAUAUUUUAAGCUAAAAAAUGAUAUUGAUCCUUUUAUACCUCAACUGAGCCUUUAUAUGCCACAAGUUAAAACCUUUUUAGAUGUACCUAUGACUUCCCAAUUGGACGAAUAACAACCCUUAAUCUUCAAUGGAGGGCAUCUUACUAUCUAAAAAGACUUCUAUGGCCAAACACAAAUUGACAUAAAAUUGCCAACAUAUAAGCAAGACUCAAUGCCCUAACAAUCUCUCCAUUUUGAAAUUUUGUGAUGAAACAUUGUUACAUAAACCCACCCAUACUCUCAUAAUGGAGUUUACAUAACACACAUUGACACUCAAAAAUAAACUAAAGGAAUAUUUUGCAAUGCUUUGUAGUACUUAUCUUCUAACCUUGUAACCUACACAAAAAACUAUACCAAAGACAAAACAGUGUGUGUUAUAAGAUAUGAUCAAGAAAGAAAAAUAGGAUAGUUGGAGAUUUUGCUUGAUGAAUUGUGUAAGCACGAAAAAGGAACAAAUUCCUAUAGUGACACCAAGGUACAAAGCAAAGAUCAAAAGGAAUUUGAAUGUAUGCAAAUCAACCAAACACAAUAGAAGCUAGAUAAGACCUAGUAAUUUAAUAGAAAAGUGCAAGGGACGUUCACCAACCAUAACAUAAGCAAUAAAGGCCCUAGGAAAAAGCUUCUAUGACUGAGAUUUGUUCUAAAGAGAUAGUCAAUCUAACAAUCGUAAUUUGCAAGAAACAUUCGUGUUAGGAAUCUUUCUUAAACUCUAAAGUCAUGUUUCCUAAGGUUGAUUUGGUUUACUUCAAUGCCUCAUUUUUAGUUUCCUCAAAUAUUUCAAAUAAUUCCCCUUAAUUCAGAAUUCAAAAACUACCUUUAAAUUCAGGAGUUUCUAUUUUCACCUUUUUUUUUAGCUCCUCUUUUUUAGGUGAAUCAAAUAUUCAAUGCUUUCUUUUUAUCUUAAUUUAAGUGAGUUAAAUAUGCAUUAUCCCCUUAUUUUUGUCACAAAAAAUGACAAAGCAAUAGAAAUAUAAAUACAAGAAGGCACAUAAAAGAGAAAGACAAAUAUGAGUGACAUAUAUAUAUUAAAAAUAUUAUUUUUGAUACAUAAGAUAAUCAAAGAAUAAACAUCCAGAUCAAUAAAGAUAUAAAUAAAAAAACUCAAUAACUAAACAUCAGAAAAAGGUAGAGAAGGAAAGAAGCUUGAACUCUCUAAGUAUGGAUCCAAGAAAUAAUGUAGGUUAACUGACCCUGGAUCUCAUGGAGUUGAACGUCCUAUGAGUCUAAACUUUGAAGCACUAUAGAUGAGGGAUCCAUUUUCUAAGAAGUUAGGGGUGCGGAAGACGAUGUGCCAUGAGAGGCUUUAGAUGAUCUAGCACAUCCUUAACUGGAGUGAGUCCUCAAUGCAAUAAUAAGAAUGGGUGCAUCCAGCUUCAAAGUUUGAAUCUCAUCCUUCUCAGCAAGUGCCUCUUAAGCAGCUUAUUGAUUUGGUGCAACAGCCUAGGAGCCAUUUGGAACUAGAGGACCCAAGGGACCAUACACGUGACCGUAGUGUUUGCCCCAAGAGCUCUCAUCCAACAAGGCAUGAGCAACCUAUACCCUCUAUGUAGUAGCAAUCUCAAAACUAAUAUGCUAUAAUAAUCUAGAGUUGAGGAGUAUGAAAAUAAGUGCACCACGACGGAAGAAGAAGUCUCGAUAAGGGGUGAUGGUAUCGAUGGUCACUUGACCAAUGUCGAAUUGCUGUCCAAAUAGAAUGGCAUGGAUGAGACAAGCAGUCGAUUGACAAAUUUAGGUGCAAUGGGAAGAAUGGUAGAAAGAAUAUGUCAAGAAAGUAGCAAAAAUCCAAACUAGCUCGGAGAAGCCAGCCAGAGGAAUAUAAGAAGAAGGCUCUCAAGGAGCACCAUAUAACGAAACGAGAAUAAAAAAACAAGCUCUCUAAGAGUGGGAGAUUGAAUCUCUAGAAGAAAAUAAAGAAGACAUGCAUCAAGUAUAGGCAUGUUGAGUACAUGCCUGAUUGACAAUGAGGUGAUCUGGAAUGGAUGACAAAACAUGGUCACUCAAAAGAAGCAACUAUGAGAAGUGGUAUGCAUGUUUGUAUAGAACAUGCGAACUAGAAGAGGAUAAUANNNNNNNNNNNNNNNNNNNNNNNNNNNNNNNNNNNNNNNNNNNNNNNNNNNNNNNNNNNNNNNNNNNNNNNNNNNNNNNNNNNNNNNNNNNNNNNNNNNNUAACUAGUAGGAAUACAAAAAAACACAAAAAAUAAGAAAUAUAUUGAAAAAUCUAAGCAGCUAUAAAUGUCCUAAACAAUGCGAAGAACAAUAUUAUGAAGUUGAAAAUGCGAAAAACAAAGAAAAUUGAUCUCAAAAUACAAAGAAACAAAGUCUUAAAGCGCUUGAGAGAAUAGAAAAAUGAUUGAAAUUACAAAAGGCACACUAGAUGGGUUUUUAUACUCAGGCGUACCACUAGAUGUAGAUUAGUGCUCAAGCAGGAUGCUCGAUCGAUACACUAAUAGAUGUAACUACGAGUGCUUGAGCAAUAAAGACGUUGGAAGUGGCUUGAGUGCUUGAGGACACUAAAUGUAGCACUCAAGCCACUAGAGCCAAAUAAAAAAAAUAAAAUAAAAAAUCUAGCAAGGGAUAGAAUACUCAACUAACUAACAUAUAAACAAGGAUUGACACCAAUUGAAACAAAUUUUGACAAUAAAGAGUAGAUAAUUAAGUUCAUAAACUUUCAACAUUAGCUCAAUCAGUAAUAGAUGAAGUAUGUUACUUUAGAUAGUAUAUGUCAAUCCAUUAAGAAUGAAAUUUCAAGAUCAACCAUUAGAUUUAAUCCUAAUCACAUAUUCAAAAACCCAAUACAUAACCAUCAAUGUAUAAGAGAGUCAACAUAGAAACAUAAGUAUUGAUUUUCAAGGAAAUACAACUUCCUAUUUAGUUCAAUAUUUUGAAAUUAAUUACUUCGAAUGGAUCCAACCACCACUUUGGUCAAAUUAAAGAACACAUUCAGUCAAUUUGAACUAAGAUUUUCAGAUUUCUAUUUAACAUGACCUCGUUGAUCUACAUACAAUGCAACUUGACUCCCCUUUAAUAUGAUAUCAUAUUUCUAUUCUUUACUUUUUAUUUUUCUAUUUAAAAGUGGAGGCAUUAUACAUCAUGAUCAAUUGAUUUUUUAUUUUUUUUCAUUCAUAGUUGUCUUUGUGUCCACUUUGGGGGUGUUUCCAAAUGUUGCAAGUGAGUAGUAUACGUUUAAGAGCAUGAAUCUUGCUAAGAGUUAUAUUUAACCAAAGAUUCAAUAUUUUAUACUCAUGUACCUUGGGAAACAAAAAAAAUGAUUUUAGUCAAACAAGGUAUGUGGAUAAUAAGAUUUGAGCAUGACAACAGAUCCUUUCAAAGUAAUCAAAGUCUACUUUAUGAGUUCAACUUAAGAAGUCUCCCCCUUGAUCAAGUAUAAGAUGUAACCAAUAUUGAAUUUUUCAUAUACAAUGACAUUUAAUUAUCAGGAAUCAAAUGCAUCAAUAGUUAUUAACAAUUAUCUAUGAUUCUAUCCAGAUCAAAUCUUGUAGAUAUAUAUAUAUUUCUUUAAAUCACAAACUUGAAACAUUACGAAUCAUGGUAAUAUUUCAAGUAACUAAAAAAAAUAAUAUGCCUAAAAAAAAAGGCCAAAGAAAACAAAAAGAUAUAAACACUAAGCUCAACACUUUUGAAGCCUAAACCUAUGAUGAUCAAUCAAUUAGCCAUAUGCCCAAGGAUUUCCUUAGGUACUCAAACCUAAGAGAAUCCAAGUGUUUGGUAAGAAUGUCUGCUAAUUAAAGUUCAAAAAGGAUAAACUCUAAAUAAGCAACCUUUUCUUCAACAAGAUCCUUAAUGAAAUGAUGAAGAAUUUCAAUAUGAUUACUACAGGAAUGAAGAACAAGAUCCUUUGAGAUAUUUAUAGCACUAGAGUUGUCAUAAUGCAUGUUCAUGGUUCUUUGUUUAAUUCCAUAGUCUUUAAGCAUUUGCUUAUCCACAGGAGUUGCAUACAACAACUUCUAACAACAAUAUACUUAGCUUCGACAAUAGAUAAAGAUAUAAAAUUUUGUUUCUUACUAAGGCAAGCCACAAGACAAUCUCCAAUAAAAGAUGUGUUUUUUCUAUCAUCAACGUUUCCAGCCCACUCAACAUCAAAAUAUCUAGCAAUUACAAGAGAAGAGUCAUAGGGAUACCACAAACCAUAAUUGAGAGUUCCAUUUAUAUAACGAAUAAUUCUUUUAAUAGACAUUAGGUGUGACUGUUUAGGGUUUGCUUGAUAUCUAGCACAAGCUCCAACACUAAAAGAUAUGUCAAGACGACUCGUAGUGAGGUAAAGUAAGCUUCCUAUUAUACUUCUAUAAAGAUUUUGCUCAACAUCUUUUCCAGAUGCAUCCUUGUUAAGCUUAGUGGUAGUGCUUAUUAAUGUCUUAUAGUGUUUAGAAGAUUCUAGAUCGAAUUUAUUAACAACUUUCCUAGCAUACUUAGAUAGAGAAAGAAAGAUUCCAUCUUUGAAUUGCCUAAUCUGCAAUCCUAGGAAGAAAAUUAAUUCACCUACUAUGUUCAACUUGAAUUCAAUCUUCAUCUCUUCUGCAAAACUAAGGGCAAGUUCACUAUAGGUAACUCAAAAAACUAUAUCAUCAACAUAAAAUAUAAGCUACUAACAACUCAUCAUUGGACCUAUCUAUAAACAAGGUUCUAUCAACUCCCCUUCUUUCAUACUUUUUCUCUAAAAGAUAGGUUAUGAGUCUCUCAUACCAUGCUCUAGGAGGUUUCUUUAACCAAUAAACAUAAUUGAGGAAUUUAGGAUCCUCAAAACCCUUAGGUUGCUCAACAUAGGCUUCUUCACUCAAAAUUUCAUUGAGAAAAGCACUCUUGACAUCCAUUUGGUAUAGCUUUAUCCUCAAGGAGCAUGCUAUUGCCCAAAGUAUCUUAAUUGAGUCUAAUCUAGCUAAGGGUGCAAAUGUCUCUUCAUAUGCAAUCCCUUCUAUUUGUGAAUAUCCUUUGGCAACUAGUCUUACUUUGUUUCUCACAAUGACCCCAUUUUCAUCUUGUUUGUUCCUGGGUUGAAAUUUGAUUAUCAAUUAUAUUCUGAUCAUACCCAGUAUCAUUUAUAACUACAUUAGAAGAUUCCUGGAUGACUUGUGAAUUUUGAUUAUAAACCCUAUAAACUUUACUCAUAGUCGAAUAACCUAGGAAGUACCUAAAUUAGAUUUAACAUCAAACUUUCCAAGGUUCUUCCCAUUCUUAAGAAUGUAGCAUUCACUUCCAAAAGUCCUAAAUUAUGAAGGUUAGGCUUUCUCCCAAUCUAUAAUUCAUAAGAUGCCUUUUUUGUUCCUGGUCUAAGAAAAAUCCUAUUAGUAUAACAAGCAAUAUUAAUUGUUUCUACCCAAAAUUGCAUAGAGGUAUUAUUCAUGUGAAUCAUCACCUUACUCAUCUCUUGUAGUACUUUGUUCUUUCUUUCAACUACUCCAUUCUAUUAAGGAGUUCUAAGGGUUGAAAACUCAUGUUUAAUUCCUUUUGACUCACAAAAAAGGUCAACGCCCACAUUGUCAAGCUCUUUCCCUCUAUCACUCUUAAUCGUUACAAUUGAAUGACCAAUUUACACUUGUACUCUAUUAAAUAAAGACUUUAAAUGUUUUAUGGCCUUAGAUGUCUCCCUAAGAAAACUCACAAAGGAGUAUCUUGACAAAAUUAUCUACUACCAUAAGGACAUAUCUCUUGUUGCCUUUACUUUUAGUUUGCAUUGGACUCAUAAGAUCCAUGUGAAGAAGAUCUAAAGGUUUAGUAGUCCUUAUCUCCUUAACCUUUUUAUGUGAGCUCUUAAUUUUUUUUCCUUUCAUGCACUCAUCACAAAUGGGUUUAGGUUCACCACUAAGUCUAGGGAUAUCUCUAACUCUUUCAGUAUUCACUAAGUGCACAAGAUCCCUAUAGUUUAUGUGACCUAGUCUUUUAUGCCAAAGCUUAGUAGAAUCAGGCUUAGCCCUACUGUACAUAAGAGGUGUUCUAAAGAUAGAAUUUGUGGCAUAACAAUUAUCAAGUGUUCUAUGUCCUAUGAUGACUACCUUUCCCUUUUUAUUAAUUACCUUGUAUAAGUCUUGGUGAAAAUUCAGUUUAUGGUCUUUUUCGCACAUUUGACUAAUACUUAUGAGAUUUUCUUUAAGCCCUUCAACAUAAAGAACUUCAUCUAAUUUGGGCCAACCAAGGGUAACUAUACCACCCCUGUCUUUCACUUUAGCUAGGUUUCCAUUUCCAAAAGCAACAGAUCCCACCAUCAAAGUUUUCUAGAGAAAUGAAAGAGGAUUAUCUCCUAUCAUGUAUCUAGGGCACCCACCAUCAAGGUACCAUUUAAUAGAAGAUUUAGCUUUAAGAGAAUUUAACACAACUUGACAUUUGAACUUAUCCUUUCUCAACCAAACUUGCUUAGUUCUAGGUGGUAACUUGGAGGAACUAGAUUGAUUUCUAGGUUUUUGAUUGGUUUUAUUUCUUUUCCCAUUAUUCAAAAUGUUAUUUUUAAGGGAAUUAAAAUCAUUCAUAAGUCUAUUCAUUUGAGUUUCAAACAUUUUGAGAAACCUAGAGUAGCAUCUAGAUUGAGAGUGUCCAGUUUUCUUAAAUUGUGUGCAUAGUGAUGUAUUUUUAAGAGAUUCUACUUGGUUAAGGGUAUCAUCCUUACCUUUAACAAACACAGUUUUUCCACUAGAUGCCUUUAUCAAGUAUUUCAUUAAGCACUUUAGUUCCAGGGUGAAAAUUUUCAUUCAUAGAUGAAGAAGACUUAUUAUUCUUGAUCUGUUGAGUGGGGACAUUAUUCUUCUCAAGGAGAGAAUGAUGCUCAGAUUUAAGAAAUCUAAUUUUCUCAAGUAAAUUAGAAUUUUCAGCAUUAAGCACAUCAAUCUUAUUUUUAUUUGCAUCAAGAAUUUCAUGAUUUGUCAUAUAACUCUUAAUUAAUCUUUCAUGCUCAAUAAAAAGAUUGUCAAAAAAUUUAGCCCUUUGUUUAUUAGUAAACUCAUCAUCAUUAAUAUCACUAUCACUAUCACAAUAAGAAUUAUUCUCAUGCUCUAUAGAUGCAACAAAAGCUAACAUGUCAUUGGGAUCGUACCUUGCAUCUUCAAAAGUUGUAGAAGCAUUGUCUUCAAAAUAUGAAUCACUCCAUAUUACUUGCAUAAACAUUUUAAUAUUUUUGGAGCUAAGACACUCUUAAGAGUAGUGUCCCACGCCUCCAUAGUUAAAGAAUUCAACUUUCUUGUCUUUGAAAGAACCUUUUCCUUUCUCAUUGGAUGUUUGUUCAUUUGGUCCUUUUCUUUUUCCCAAUUCUUGGUUCUUGUAGAACAUUUUGUUGAAUCUCAUAGCCCUUUUAAUUCUUUUGGGCAUAUGUGCCAAUUCAUCAUGAGUUAUAUCUUUUGGCAUUUCAAUAUCUUUUUCCUCAUUCUCAAAAACCUUAAAGGCAGAGUCUUUAGGAUUAUGGGAAUUUGGUAGGUUCAUUUCAUAUGUUUGAAUGGAGCCUACAAGUUCAUCAACUCUUAUGGAAUCACUGUCCUUGCUUUCCUCUAUGACAAUUACUUUGGGUCUAAAUCUCCCUGGAAGAGAUCUCAAUAUUUUUCUAACUACCUUAGAAUUAGGAAUAGGUUCUCCAAUAUUAAAUAAAGAAUUUAGAAUAUUACUCAAUUCAAAAUAAAAGAAAGAUAAAGUUUUAAAAUGGGUAUUUAUGGAGUUCACCGGCUGUACAUAUGAGGUGGUGAUUAAAUAAUUCAAUGAAAAUAUGGUUUUGUGUAUGAUGUUUGGUGGAAGAAUGUUUUAGUGGGAUUGAAGUUUUUAGUGGCCAUGUUGUAAUUUUAUUUUUUUUUUGGAAAGUUCAAUGGGGAUUUAAGGGGUGGGAAUUGGAAAGAGAUCUACAUGCUACAACAAAAGAGAUAUCCACGUUGCUAUAUAAGGAUCUCGACACCGUAUGCGCAAGGAGAAGGCGGUAUGUUCAGCAGCACCUAAAAAAAUCAGAUUUGGUUGCCUCUUUAGCGCACUAAGAGUUGAUUUUUUGAGAAAUGCAUUCGGGAGGGUAUCAACGACACGGGAUAAGUUCCAAUUUUUAAAUACGAUUUAGUUUAGUUUUAAUCUUUUUUUUUUAUUUUAAAUUUGGAUGUGUUUAUGAUUUUAAUUCAUUUGUUUGAUUAAUUCUGUUAAAUAAAGUUCAUUUUUUGUAAUUCCAAUUUAGUUUAGUUUUAAUUUAUUUUUAAAUUUAGAUACAUUUGAAAUUUUGAUUCUUAAGAUUAAUUAAUCCUAUUAGAUAUCAUGUUUUUAAUUCCGAUUUUGUUUGGUUACAAUUUAUUCUCUUAAUUUAAGUGCGUUUGUGAUGUUAAUUCAUUAAUUUAAAUAAUCUUGUUAUAUAAAGUUUGUAUUUUUAAGUCUCAAUUAAUUUAGUUUUAUUCUAUCUUUAGUUUAAAUGUGUUCGUGAUUUUAAUUUAUUAGUUUAAAUAAUCUUGUUGUAUAAAGUUUAUAUUUUUAAUUCUCAAUUAGAUUAGUUUUAACCUAUCUUUUAGUUUAAAUAUGUUUGUGGUUUGAAUUCAUUAAUUUGAAUAAUCUUGUUAGAUAAAGUUUUUUUUUUUUUAAUUUUGAAUUAGUUUAGUUUUAAACUAUCUUUUAGUUUAAGAAUGUUUGUGGUUUUAAUUCAUUAGUUUAAAUAAUCCCAUUGGAUAAAGUUUAUGUUUUUAAUUUCGAUUUAGUUUAGUUAUAAUUUAUUUUUUUUUAGUUUAGAUAUGUUUGUGAUUGCAAUUCAAUAGUUUAAUUAAUUCUAUUAAAUAAAUUUCAUGUUUUUAAUUACAAUUUAGUUUAGUUUUAAUUUGUUCUCUGGAUAGGUCUUAGACCUCGUGGCUUUUCAUAUCUCCAUAGUUUGUGGGGGCUUUCCACAUAAAAAUCUUGUGCCUCAUUGUCUACCUCAUUAUAUUGGUUAAUUUGUUUUAACCUAAUAUCUUGUAAGGCUAUUCUAAAAGGUUUAUAAUUUAGAUUUAUUGCUACAUAUAUUCUAGUUAAAGAUGUUGAAUAAAUUGGAUUGAUUGAUUAAUUGGUUAUUGAGUUUGUUGAAUUGGUUAUCUUGUGAUGGUUAUAUCUCUAACUUGUGGAUUAUUAUUAAGUUUGUUAGGUUGGUUAUUCUUGUAGUUAUUAUUGUCUCUAGCAUUUUUCAAUAUAUAUUGUUAAGAUGAAAUCCUUUUCGAAUAUCCAGGUUAUCCUUAUAAUAUAUUGAGAUAAGAAAAAGUAAUUAUAAUUCAUAAAUAUUGAUUUAAUUUUUUAAAUCAUCUAUCCACCCCACCAUCCCCUCUAGGGGUUCUUAUUGGACUUUUGGUUAUUUAAGGGGUAUAUAGAGCAAUACUCAUAUUUUUUCAAUUGGUAUGGAAGAGGGAUAAAAAAAACUGAUUCUUUAUCCUAUUGAUUAAAAAAUCAAUUUUUAUUAUUUAUCUUUAUAGUAUAAAAGCCUUUGUUGUAACUUUUUUACCCCUAUUUUCUUUGAAUAUUUACCGAACUACCCACACCAACUUUUUGAUGGGAUGGAUGGACGAUGAUGCCCUACACACACCUUGCUAUGUUGGUGCAUGAUAAGGGCACUUCCGGAAAUCUAGGAUUUCGUGGUGCCCACAUGGAUUUGGAGACUUGUCUUGCAAAGUUUUGAGAAUCACCGGGUCUCUGCAGCCUACUACUACUUCUGCUGCUACGUCAUCUUCAUUGAAGGAUCUGAAUAAGAAGAUCCGUCAGCCCUAUACCAUCACCAAGUCCAGAGAGGGUUGGAUUGAGCAAGAGCACGAUAAGUUUCUCGAAGCUUUACAAUGGUGUGUCACUCUCAAUUACUUGAUUUUGGAGUUUUGUUUUGUAGAUGAGAACAUUCAGCGGGAAUUGGAGAAUUGUGUGUGUGUUUUAUUUCUUCAUUUCGAGGAAAGAUUGGGAAAAAUGUUCAAUAGAGUCAAGUCAAUUGAUCAAUUGAGUGAGGUGGGUUUAUUGUUUUUUAGGACUUGUUUCUCUUUUCUUUCGUUUCUUUCUAUUUUCUCGCACUUUCUCCACAACCAAAUGAGGAAUUGAGGUUGGUAAUUCCGUUAAAUAUCAAAAAUUGAACAUUAUCUUAAUUGGUUAAUAUUUUUAUUUCCGUUUUUCCUAAUAAGGCUUCAAUUUUUGUCAUUUCACUUUGGUUUCCCUUUCUUUGCUUUUCUUUUUUUUUUUUUUCCUUUUUAAUAGAUGAUUUUAGUUUAUUUUAUGAUAAAUUACGAUUUUCAGUUGCAUUAGAUUGUAGAUUUAUUUAAUUUAACAUCUAAUUUUAGUAAUUUCCAUGGAUCCCCAAGUCUAAUCAUAAUUCCUCAAGAAAUAAUUGAUUAUUGGGGGAUUCUAGGUGAGACUGAACUAAAAUUUGAGGAUUUUUUUAGUUAGAGUUUUGUUUAUUUAGCUUUGUUAUGAAAUGGCUUUCUGUUUCAUUUCAUACGGUAGGAAAAUCAUGCAUUCUGAUUUUUUUUUUCUUUUGUGAUUUUUUUACAUAGGUUGAUUGAGAUUGGAAGAGGAUUGAAGCAUUUGUUGGGUCCAAAACAAUUAUCUUAGGAUAAAUUUGUAUCUUUUUAAAAUAUUGUAAAUUUGUUUAACUUGCCAAAAGAGCUACGUUUGGACUUUUUUUUCAAGCUAAAUUUGAAAGAGGAGUGAAAAGAAAGAGAAAUGAUGGAAAUUAGCUACAAGACAUUCCUUUUUUAAGUUAUUCAUCAUUUUCCUCUUCUUUCCGAAUCCAAAUCCUUGCCUUAGUAAGGUUGAACUGAAUUUGAUUUAGAAUUUCAUUUAUGUGAAAUGGUUUUGCUUUUGGUUUUAGAUUUUUUUUUUUUAAACACAAAUUUCUAUUUAUCAAAUUAAAUAAUAAAAAAUAUUAACAAAUUUAUAUUUAAAAGAGAAAAAAAUAUAAAUAUACCUUUUAAAGAUAUUCUUUAAAAUAGAGAAUAUAUGUGAUUUUCUAUGUAAUCCUUUUUUUUUCAUUUUUUUAAUAAUUUUUUAUUUAUAUAGAAUUAUAGAUAAAAAUAUAUUGAUUUCAAAUGCAAAUAAUUAUUUAAAUUUAAAUUUUAAGUUUUCAUUUGUAAAUUUAAAACUUAGAUAUUUUCUAAUUAUGCAUGUCAUUAAAUUGGGAUCUAUCUUUGGCUUGGUGUUUAUAAAUGCCUCUACUUUUAUAUAUAACUUUAAUAUAUAUAUUAGAAAAUUAUGAUUGAAGAGUAAUUUCUUUUUCUUUUAAUUUGAUCAAAAUUAGAAAUCUCAUCUAAAUAGGAUCAUUAUUUUAGUUUUUAAAAAAGUUUGAAAAUAUUGUUUCUAAUAAAUUUUGGUUAAAUAGAAUUAAUAAUUUUUUUAUUUCUUGAAUUUAAAAAAAAAUAUUUUCAAAUAAAUAAUAAUAUAUGUUUGUUUAUUACUAAUCUUAACAUUUUAGGAAAUUUAAAGCCAUAUACACUAUCUCAAAAAAUAAUAAUGUAUAUUUAUUUAUUAUAAUAAAAAAUAAUUAAUCACUUUUGAUUUGAUAUCUAGAUUUUUUUUAUUAUAUAAUAAAUAUAUGCAUAGAAUUAUCAUGAUUCUAUAAUAUAUUUUUAAAUACAAAUAUCUAAAAAAUACUUAAAAGUUUGACAAUUUUAUUUUAAUUAAAUUAAUUUUUAUAAUUUUUAUUAAAUAAUUUAAAAUUUAUAUAUAAUAUCAACUUUAUUACCUAUCUUGUCCACGUGCCUUGCAUGUGGAUCAAACCUAGUAUUCUUUAAAAAAACAAAUUUUUAUUAAUCAUAUAAGAUAAAAAUCAAAUUUUUAUCGAAACAAUCAAAAAGUGGUGCUCCUUUGAAUGGUCUACCCUAUUUUGAUGGAAAUAAUUACUUCCAUUGGAAAGAACAAAUGAUGGUUUUCGUCAAAAUGCAAGACAAAAUAAUUACUUAGUUGAACAUGGUUAGGGACCACCAUUAAUCCUUGAUGCUAAAGGAAGAUCGGAGAACUUAAACCUAAACAUGAAUGGGACAAAGCUAAUAAUGAAGGUAGUGAAGCUAAAGCUAGGGCUUCAUUUAGUAUUUUUAAUGGAGUUUAUCCAAAUGAGUUUCAUAGAAUAGCAAAUUGUAAACAUGGGAUAUUCUUCAAGUCACUCAUUGAAAAUCCCAUCUCUAAAUUCCAUUACUUGGCCACUUUUUACACAGCAAGAAAGAUAAAAGAUGACGCUUCUUUAAUGCGUCAUCUUUUGGCUUGUCAUUGUAUGUGUUAGCUAACAAUGACGCUUUUAGUAAGCGUCAUCUUUCAUAAAUGCUUUCAAUGACAUUUAAUAAAGCAUCAUCUUUGAAUAAUAUUAAUGACACUUAUAAAAAAUGUCAUCUUUGAACAUUUACUAGUGAAAUAAUUUUUACAAAGAGCUUCAUCUAUAAUAUAUUUUAUAAAUGACACUUUUAAAAACGCCAUCUUUGAUUAAUGUUUAUUACAACAAUGGGUUUCCUAUAUAAUUAAAUAAAAGAAAAAAACAAGCCCCAAAAUUAAAUUAAAUUUUAUAAUUAAAAUACCAUCAAAUAUUGAUAUACAAUAAUUUCUAAUUUUCAACAAAAGAACAAAUAUUAGGGCAACAACUAUUAAGAUCUAAAUUCUACAAAAACAUAGUUCAAUCUCCUAAUCACUUUAUUGAUAUAAUCUUCAUGAUUUCCGGUAUCACUUCCUUUACACAUAAUGGCUUAUCUUCUUUUGUCAAAUCAAUUUCCUUUGCAACUUGUAAACAAAUAUUGGAAAAAUAGAAAACCUCUAAAUUAUAUAUGCAACCAAUAAAUACAAUUGAAACAAUGACUUCCACAAAAACACACAAGUUAGGAAAAAAUAGUUAGAGGUUAUCACUUGAGGAUAAGAUGUCCUUCCCUAAUUGAGUGAAGAAACUCUAUAACAAAAUAAUGCUUCAUAAUUGAAAACGAACUCUUCAAGAGUAAUAUAUUUCUAAUUAUGAUAUAACAUUAAAAAGUUAAAAUAACAGGCCAUAAUGAAACUUUAUACAAAUUACAAUAACAAAAUAUAACACUAAUUUAUCCCUUAAAAAGGUUUUCUAAAAUUAGAGGGAGUUUGCCAUAAUGAAACUUUUAAAAUAUGGGGUGUAUAGGAAAGUAAAUAAUCUGAAGCUCACAAUGGAAAUGUCAACACCCAUAUAUUGAUCUGUUUAGCAAACCUUUAUACAGACGUUUACAAACCUAUCUAAGGAAUUUGUACAGCUAAGGAAAUAUCAUGUACAACGGUUACAGAUUUGCUUUACUAAAAAUAAAACAAUUACAUCAAUUUCAGGCCAUGAUACUCGGCUUGAUGAUUGCUGCAAAUCACUUCCAGAUUUGUUGUUGGGGCUUGAUGAUUGCUGCAAAUCACUUCUAGAUUUAAAUCUUAUUCUUGUCUUGUGUCACUUUCCUUAAUACGCCCUCGCAAAAUUGAGCUUCCAUCGGCAAGACCAAUUUUGGCUCUUAGACAUUUUGUGCAUUCCUGGGACAGUGGCUUAGUUAGUAGAUCAGCCAAUUGAUCUUGAGUAUGAACAUAACUCACUUUAAGUGCACCUUUCUGAACUUGAUCACGCACAAAAUGAAGAUCAAUUUGAAUAUGUUUCAUUCUUGAAUGUUGGACCGGAUUGAAGCUGAGAUGAGUUGCUCCAAGAUUAUCACAUAGAAGAGAAGGUGGCAGCUUUAAUGAAAAACCCAAUUCUUGAAGAAGGGCAAGUAACCACAUUGUUUCUGAUGCACCAUUGGCCAGCGCUCGAUAUUUUGCUUCUGUGGUGGAACGAGCAACAACUCGUUGUUUUUUUGAACUCCAUGAGAUGGGAUUGCAACCCAGAAAUGUAAUGUAAGCUGAUGUGGAUGUUCGAUCAUCAAUGUUUUCAGCCCAAUCUGCAUCAGUGUAGGUUAUUAAGCAUGGUGCUGCAGCUGACUUGAGGUGAAGACCGUGAAAGAUUGUCUUCUUGAGAUAUCGAAGAAGUCUCUUAGUGGUAGUCCAAUGAGUGAUUGUUGGCUUGUGCAUAAAUUGAGAGAGCUUAUUAACAGCACAAGAAAUGUCGGGCCGAGUAAGAGAAAGGUAUUGUAAGCUGCCAAUAACACGCCUAUACUCUGUGCUGUUUACAGCAUUCGUGACAUCUACCAAGUGAAGGGAUUGAGUUGUUGACAGCGGGGUAAAGACAUCCUUUGCACCAGCCAUGUGUGUAUUCUCCAAGAUGUCACGAACAUACUUAUGUUGGGAGAGAAAUACACCUGCAGUAGUCGGUAUAACUUCCUGUCCAAGGAAGUAAUGAAGGGAACCCAUAUCUUUCAAGGAAAAUUGGUCACCAAGUUUGGUAACAACAUGAGCUACACACUUCUUGUCAUUACCUGUAAUGACUAAAUCAUCAACAUAAACAAGGAAAUAGCAGACCAUGGAAUCAUGGCGAUAAAUAAAAAGAGAGGAAUCAACUUUAGAAUUUUGGAACCCGAGUGCUAGAAGAGCAGUUUUUAAUGCUGAAUACCAGGCCUUUGGGGCUUGUUUGAGAUCAUAAAUUGCUUUCCUGAGCCGACACACAUAAUCAGGUAGAGACAAAUCUUUGAAACCCGGAGGUUGCAUCAUGUACACAGUUUCAGUCAGAUUUCCAUGUAAAAAAGCAUUGUUUACGUCCAUUUGUUUCAAAGGCCACCCAUUCAUGAUUGCAAUGCUCAACAAUGUCCUUAUGGUGGCUGGUUUAACCACAGGACUAAAGGUUUCAUUAUAAUCAACACUAGGUUGCUGAUUAUAGCCCUUGGCAACAAGCCGGGCUUUAAAUUUAUCAACCGAGCCAUCUGCUUUCCUUUUGACUCUAAACACCCACUUACAACCCACUGGAUGACAAUUGAUGGGGGGAGGAAUUAAAUCCCAUGUACCAUGUCGCAUGAGAGCAGUCAAUUCACUAGACAUGGGUUCAUGCCAUUCAGGGUGAGAUACAGCUUAAGUCGCGCAUGUUGGUUCUAGAGGUAAUGGAAGAUAGUGCUUAGACAUAAUGUGUAAUUGCUUAGGUUUAAAGAUGUUGUUCAUAGAUCUAGUAGUCAUGGAAUGGGUUCGGUGGGAAGUGGGUUUAGUGUGUACAAGAGAUUGUGAAUCAAGAAUUAAAUUAGAUGCAAGUGAAUUUGAAAGAGAAGCAUGCGGAACAGUCAUAUGUAUACCAACAUCUAAGUUCAGAUUCAUAUCACAGGUAUUGUCAUGUGAUUCAUAAUGAAAAGAAGGAGAGAUAGAGGGGGAUAUACCUAGAGGUGGUGCAGGAAUGGCAGCUGCAGGUUCCGAGCUCAGUGGUGGCUGUGAGGAGCGAUCGGGACGAGAUGGAGGAGCAAGAAUGGAAGGAGGAGGGGAAGGAAAUUAGGGCACGGGUUCUGCUGAAGGAAAAGGUGAGGAGCAGAGGAAAAUAAGUGGGUUUCGGCAGAUGGCCCGUGCUUGGUUUUUGAAAGGAAUGGGCUCUGCAAUUCAUCAAAAGUCACAUGCCAUGAGAUAUACAACCGAUUCGUUAAUGGAUCCAUACAUUUAUAGGCAUUUUGUGUUUGGGAAUAGCCGAGAAAAAUGCAAGGGAUUGAUUUUGGUUGUAAUUUAUGGGUAUUGUAUGGCCUUGUGAGAGGGUAACAUAAACAACCAAAUUUUCUCAAUUUGAGAUAAUUUGGUCGUUGACCAAAAAGAACCUCAAAUGGAGACUUGUGUUUAAGAAGAGGGGUUGGUUGGCGAUUUAUGAGAUAAGUGGCUAUUUGAAAGGCAUGGGGCCAAUAAGAAAGAGAUAAAAAAGCAUCGUGAAGCAAGGUGAUACCCGUUUCGACAAGAUGACGGUGACGUCUUUUGGAAACACCAUUUUGUUGGGGGGUAUGGAGGGCGGUGGUGUAGUGGCUUAUGCCAUGAUCGGACAAAUAUUUUUUUAAACUCAAAAAUUCGCCACCAUUGUCUAAGUACAAGCUUUUUAUGGAACACUUGAAUCUUGUUUCAACAAGUAAUUUAAACUGUGGAAAGACUGUAGAAACAAGAGAUUUUGUGGACAUUGGAUAAAACCAUAUAUAUUUGGUGUAAUGAUCCACAAAAAUAAGAUAAUAACGUUCACCAUUUAAACCGGUAAUGUGCACAGGACCCCAAACAUCACUGUAAAUAAUUUCAAGGGGAGAAUGACUUUGAAAACUUGUAGAGCCAAAUGGUUGUUGAUGUACUUUAUUGAUUGAACAUGAAGGACAUGACAAUGGUAAUUUAUUUGUUGUCAGAGGAAGAGAAAAAAGAUUAACAAGAUUUUGAACAACUUUAAUCGAUGGGUAUCCAAGACGCUUGUGCCAUCCAUCGAUUGAAGUCCGUUCAUGCACAUAAGCAACCAUUUUGGGAGUAGAAGGAGCCACCAUGGAGUUGGGAAAAAUGUAGACGCCAUUCUCACACGUACCUCUUAGUAGUAUCGCCCCCGUGGAUCGUGCCUUCACAAGGAAAAAAAAAGGUGAAAUUAAAGAAAAACAUCAUUUUGCUUGGUGAAAUGAUGAACUGAAAUGAGAUUUUUGUGAAUAUUGGGAACGCAUAAAGUAUCAUGUAAAUGAAAUAUUUUUUUGGGUGUGGGUAAUGCUAAAGAACCAAUAUGCGUAACCGCUAAACAUGUACCAUCACCAAGAAGGACUUCAUCAGUGCCAUCAUACUCAGAGUGAAUUGAUAAAUUUUUUAUAUUUCUCGUGAUAUUGUGAGAGGCUGCAGAGUCAAUUAACCAUUUAUUUUCUUGACCAUCAGAAGUUCCUGCACAAUUAACAGUCAUUUCAGAAGAAUUUAAUUGAGGGCAGGCCUUGGCCGUGUGGCCCAUUUGAUCAUAGUACUGGCAUUUGGGCUGAUAGCGUCUCUUAUUAGAGUUGAAUUGGCCCUGAUUGUUGGAACGACGUGGGUCACGAGAUGGGCCAUUUGAGCUGGAAAACCAAUAAUGGCCUUGUGAACGGGGAGACCCAUUUCCCUUGUGAGAAGCUUUCUGUUGCUGAGAUGCAGAAAAGCCAGAGCGUCGGCUUGUGAAAUUUCCAGUGGCCACGAGCUGCUGGGUAGCAGCCUCCAUCCUAUGCAGGUAAUUUUCAUGCCUUAUAAGGAGGUCAUGAAGCUCCUCAAAGGCAAGGGAUUUUUCUCUUGCCCGAAUAGGGGCAGCAAUCUCACGAAAUUCGGGUCCUAACCCGUUGAGGACAUAGAGAGUGAUGUCGUCGUCGGAGAUUGGGUGGUCGAUGAGUGCAAUCUCAUCAACCAGGCCUUUAACAACAUGAAGGUACUCCAGAAUUGGGCGGUUUCCACGCUGAAUCAAGGUGAGUUCUUCCUUGAGUUGCAUGGCCCUUGUACGUGAUUUACUUACAUACAUGGUGGAUAAUUUUUUCCAGGCAUCAUAGGAGGUUUUUGCUGUGGCAAUAAGAGAGGUAAUGGUUGGGGAAGUAGAGGCAAGGAUGGCACUAAGAAUUAAUUUAUCUUGCCUAACCCAGUGGUGUUUCUUGGCUAUAGAUGGUGGGGUGCCAUCAGAGGGAGGGCAACGGGAUUCACUAGUAAUGUAGUCCAUUAGAUCAUAGCCAAUUAGGAGAGCCUUAAACUGAGCUCUCCAUUGGGGAAAAGAGGAAGGUGUGAGUUUCUCAUUGAUCUGAGCUGUGAUGUUAAAAACAACAAGGGGGAUUUCGAAGGUAGGCUGUGUUGGGGAAGACAUUAGGAUCAAAUUCUCGUUGGAGAGAUGCUCUGAUACCAUAUAGGAAAGUAAAUAAUCUGAAGCUCACAAUGGAAAUGUCAACACACAUAUAUUGAUCUGUUUAGCAAACCUUUAUACAGACGUAUACAAACCUAUCUAAGGAAUUUGUACAACAAAGGAAAUAUCAUGUACAACGGUUACAGAUUUGCUUUACUAAAAAUAAAACAAUUACAUCAAUUUCAGGCCAUGAUACUCGGCUUGAUGAUUGCUGCAAAUCACUUCCAGAUUUGUUGUUGGGGCUUGAUGAUUGCUGCAAAUCACUUCCAGAUUUAAAUCUUAUUCUUGUCUUGUGUCACUUUCCUUAAUAGGGUGAACCAAUUUAUUAGCUCAUUGAUCUCCUUCAUCGCGAUUGCAUCAUCCAACGGUUCUUGAUUUGGAUAGUAAAUUAAAUUUACCCAUAAUAACAAUUUUCCUUGUCAAAUUAUAUUUUUCUUACACUUUGCAUAUUUAUAAAUAAGUGAUGUUAAUGUUUCCAAUUCAACUUUCUCAAUCAUAUAAAUAUAAAUUUUUUUUCUUGUUAAAUAAAUUGUAAAUAAAAAGGAUAUUAAGAAAUUAUUUCAAAAUUAAAAUGAAAAAUAUUUUUCCUUCAAUUGAUUCUAAUGAACAAAACUUAAAAAUCAUGUAUUCAUUUUGUAGAAGUGAAUUACAAUCACCGAGUGUCAUAGAAGAUUAAUAUGAUGAUGCCAAUAAAUAAAAUCAAGAAUUGGUAUACAAGUUAGUACAAUUAAAAGAUCUUAAAAAGAGUUUUGAUAAUUUAUUUUAUGACAACAAAGUAAAUAAAUGAUAUAAAAUAUACUUUAUCUCUUUUGGGCUGAGCUCGUGGUGCGCAUGAUGGGAGUGUUAGAACUGUGAAUCUAACAACAUGAAUUCUGAAAGGCCUCAGAACAUAGAUAGGGAUUGUAAAAAGUAAUAAAUUUUUUUUGGGACUUUGAAUCAUAAGGUACAAAGCAUGAAUCAUUUAUUUGAUGGUCAGCAUUAUCCUAUUUUCAACUAAGUGAUCUGCCUCUCUAAUCUAUUACUCUAAUUUCUGUGAUUCAUCAUAUUAAUUUUAUGUAGUGUUAUAGCCCAAAUGAAGUUUGAAUAUUCUACUAGUCAAAUAAAGUUAAAGUGUUAUAGCCCAAAUGAAGUUUGAAUAUUCUACUAGCCAAAUAAAGUUAAUCUUGCUAGUGAAAAAUAAUUAGAAUUCAUUGUCUUCUAUUUAAUAAAAAACUUAUUAUACAUUAAUUUAUAUAUAUAUAUAUAUAUAUAUAUAUAUAUAUAUAUAUAUAUAUAUAUAUAUUAUUUCACUGUUAUUAAAAACUAAUAAAAAUAUGACAUUUAAAAAACAAUACAUUGUCUAAAUAAAAUAAAGAAAAAUAAUUACUUAAUUCAUUAUUAAUUUAUUGGAGAAUCGAUUUUAUUACCUAUUGAAACUAAUUAUAAUAUUUAAUAGUAAAUUUUUUUAAAAUACUAUACUUAUAGAGGUAUUAUUAAAUUUUCUACCAUAUAAAAAUAAUUAUAUAUUAUCCAUAAUAAAAACAAAGCUGAGUAUUUUCUUUUUUAAUUUUGUUAUAGAAAAUAGCAAUCCAAAAUUAAGAAUCUAUUAAUAUUAAAAAGUCAAACUUUAUAUAUAAGUUAACCACUAACAAUCCAAUUUAAUAGUUAAGACCCAAAAACGUUUGAAAUUAAGAAAACUAAAUAUUCUAUAAUUGUUUUUUUAGGGAAGAAUCAUUCACAAAAUCACUGCUUUCCAAUUGGAGGACUCCACUUCAAACCACAAACAGAGAUGAAGCUCCCAUUAUCCCAAUUCACCAAAGCCCUAACAUAUCGCUCACCACUCUCUUUCUCUUUGAAAUUGGAACAAAGCCAAACCUGUACAUACCCAAAUAAACAUUAAACUAAAUUAAAAAUUCAAAGCCCCAAACUCAAUUUUGAAACAAUUUUUUUUUGCAUAUUUGUAGCUAAUUCAUCCACUUUCCCUACAACCAAACACUAUAAAUGAAAAACCACUUACUUCAAUCUAAAGAGACCAAUGAAACCUAAGAUUUUGAAACAACAGAAUCUUUACUUCUCCCUUUACUUCACUUUCUCUUAUCUCGUUGUGGACCUGCAUUUUUCACAUGCGUCCCCACUCGAUUGGCGAGACUUGUUUUUAUUUUAUGAAAAAUUUAGCUUUUGGAAAAAAUUCGGAGUCGCCACUUAUUUUAUUUUAUUUUAAAAGGGAAAAUAAAACAAAAAAGAAAACCUUAAAAAAUGACUCCAUAGUUUUUGGAAAAGCAUGUCUUUGAAAAACCUGAGUCUAGGUCUAGGGAUCAGGUUACCUAUUGGGAAGGUACCUCUAAAAGGUAGCACCCCUCUAAGCCUUACAAAGGUCUCUACUGACUAAGUUGGGGGAAAUGUAGCAAUUAAUUGAUUUAAUUGAGGGUACCUAGGUAGGCUAGGGUGAUUUCAAAAAGUAGCAUGCCAAACAAGAUCAAAUCACAAUAAAGAAGAUUUUGGAUGCAUACCCAAACCACUUCUCAAGCGCUAUCAUAAAACAUCAGAGUUAGUAUAGCGAAUCAAGCAUACAUCUAAGCACCUAAGGAUCAUAUCAAGCAUAAAUAAGGCUCACAACAACAUGCAUGUUCAAGGAAUCCCGGAAAGUAGUGAUAGAGAGCAUACCUGAAUAUCAUGCAUAAUUUAUAAGAUUCCUCCAAAAAUGUUAGAAUGGUUAGAACAAGUAUGAAUUAUAUAACAUAUUCAUAAUGUCUAAUACACAGUACCAAAGUCAAAAUUGAGCUAAGGUAAGUCAAAUGACUCCAAAAAUAAAUAACUAAUUCAAGCAAUGUACAAGAUCAUCAACAUGCAAUUAGAAAAGGGAGCAUAAAAAAAACAAUUUCUAAAAAAUGAUUUAGAGUGGAAUUUAAUUAUGAAAAUUUUCAAGAAACAACUCCUAUCCAUCUAGAUCAACAUACCGAAGGCCAAACUCUCAUUCAAAGGACAGAUUGCAGCAAAGACACCUAAAGGUUCUACAAAGUCCAGAUUAGAGAAGAAAAAAUAACAUGUAUAAAUGAAUUUUUGAAAAACAAUAAAUGAUCACAUAAAAUCAUAAAUAAAAAAAAAAAAAAAACCACCCACAUAUUCAAAGUGUCUAUAUCACAUAAAAAAUGAAUCCAAGGUCGGAUAGUACUCAAAAAUAUUUUUAAAACAUUCAAGCUAAUCAGAUGUCCAGAAUUCAGCAUGUGCAAUAGGUACGAUUUUGAAAAAUCAUAUCUCCCUCAAAAAAGAAUAUUUUUUAAUAGUUUAUGUGUCUAAGAUAAAUUUCAAGAACCCUAAAAUUAACGAAAAAUAGAGAAUCAAAUUUUAAAAGUCAUCUAUUAUUUUAUUUUUUCAAAAAGAUCUCGGGUGUCCAGAACUAGGUGAAAACAGAGCCCCCCAUUCCCCCCUCCCCUAAAGAUAAGUUUAUAUCUUCUAUUCCAGAAUGGUUUUCUAACUCAAAAAAAAAAAAAUUUAACUCAAGUUCAAGAAGUGAGGAAAAUCAUACAAGUUUUGAAUUUUUCUUUAAGAGCAUUUUGAAAUUGCUAUAAUGAAUUUUAACACUAAAUGGUUAGUGGUUGAGUGGAAACUGGCAGCAAGGAAGAGUUUUGAAGAGUUUUCUUAUGUAGGGGUUUCACCAAUUCCCCAAUUGAUAUACACAAAUCUAGCCCAAAAUUAUCCCAUUUAUUUGAAUUUAUUUGCAUAGCAAUACAUUGUAGCCCCCUCUUAGAAAUAAAAGAAUGUAUGUCAUGCGGGCAUGCUACCAACCGCUAUCUUUCUCUGAGACAUGCAUGGGACCUACCAAUGAAUGGUGAUAUUUUCUUUUCCCUUGUUAUAAAUGUUAAUAAUGAUCGUCUCUCCUUUUGUAUUAAAAUAACAAGAAUAAUGUAAAGUUGUAAAAUAUUGUGUCUAGGAUUAUUAUAUAAUUUGUCAAUUUCUUGGAUUGUUAAAAGUCUACAAAGAUAAUGUUGUAGAAUAAUCUUUGAGAUAUGCAAUGGUGGAAUUUGCCAUGGAAGUCUUCAUUUGACAACUUUUGACCAUUCCAAUUUUAUUCAACAUGAUAAAAUAUCAUGUUGUGAAAAAGGUCAUGAAAUGAUUUGUUUAAUUUUUACUUUUACAACUCAAAAUAUUUUGCAAAUAAGAAAAUUUUAAUGAAGUCUUUAACAAUUAAGAUAAAAUCAGUUUUUUUUCUACUUAUUUAUUUCAAAUUAAAAUAAGCACUUUUUUCCUAAAUUUAAAAUAAUUGAUAAUAAUUUAUAUUUUUACCUCCUAUUUUAGUAAUAAUAUCACAAGACUACACCAGAUAAAGGAAAAGGAAAAAACAAAUAAAAGAUAAAAAAUAAAAAAUUUUCCAUUUCCAUUGCAUGGGGACAAAUUGAGUCUAACCGCACACUGAAGGAACUCCAAUUCUAUUUUUAGUGAUUUAAUUACUUUUUAAACCCUCAUUUUUUUUUUUUUUUUUUUUUUUACAUUAGACCAAACCCUUUCCUGCUUCCUUAAUUUAAAUAACUAGUAAAAACAAAUCAUAUUUAAUUUUUUGUUUUUUAAAUGUAACUUAAAAAAAAUAUUUGGAAAUUAUUUUUAAGUGAUUUUUUGGAUUUUUAAAAGUGAUUUUCAAAUAUAUAUAUAAAUUUAAUUUGGAUUGACUUUUAAGAGUUAAAUAAAAGUUUUUAUACCUAUUUAUUUAUUUUUUUAAAAAAAACUUGUAACUUUAAAAAAAAAAAAAGUUUCAUGUAGAAUUCAUAAAAAUGUUAUUUCUUAUAAGAAUUUUAUAAUUCCAUUUUUUUUAUAUAAGAAGUUCUUUCAUGUUUAAUAAAACUUUUACAAUAUCAAUAUUUCCCCUUUAAAAUUAUUACUUUAGUUUUUAUUUUAAUUUUCAGUUAAAGCAAAAAUUAUGAAGCUAUCCCGAAUUUGACCUUACCAUCCACCUAAUUAAUUUUUGUAAGAAAGAGUUACUUUUUAAUAUUUAGAAGGGCUUUUAUUUAUUUAUUUUUAAAUCAUUCCCAAAUGAAAUUUAUAAGAAACAAAUAAAAAGUUUGCUCCAAUAUUAGAAAAAAAUUGUUGACUAAGGAUUCCUCUUGUAUUAAAAUAACAAGAAUAAUGUAAAGUUAUAGAAUAUUGUGUCUGGGAUUAUUAUAUAGUUUUUCAAUUUCUUGGAUUGUUAAAUGUCUACAAAUAUAAUGUUGUAGAAUAAUCUUUGCGAUAUGCAAUGGUGGAAUUUGCCAUGGAAGUCUUGAUUUGACAACUUUUUCCCAUUCCAAUUUUAUUCAAUAUGAUAAAAUAUCAUGUUGCAUUAGAAAAGUUUGAAAUUAUCUUUCAUUUGACAUUUUUUACUUAUCCACAUUUUAUUCCAAUUCCAUACAAGGUUAGGUAUCAUAGCAAUAAUUAAAAAAAUUAUAAAUGAUAUAGUUUAGAUUAAUUGGAUUUUUUAAAUAUUUUAAAAUUAGACUAUGAUGUAAAUGGAUACUUGUGAAAAAGGUCAUGAAAUGAUUUGUUUAACUUUUACUUUUACAACUCAAAAUAUUUUGCAAAUAAGAAAAUAUUUUUGAAGUCUUACACAAUUGACAUAAAAUCAGUUUUUUUUUCUAUUUAUUUAUUUCAAAUUAAAAUAAGCACUUUUUUCUAAAUUUAAAAUAAUCGAUAUAUAAUUUAUAUUUUUACCUCCUAUUUUAGUAAUAAUAUCACAAGACUACACUAACAUAAAGGAAAAGGAAAAAAAAUAAAUAACUAAAAUAUCUUUAUAGACUUUUAACAAUCCAAGAAAUUGACAAAUUAUAUAAUAAUCCCAGACACAAUAUUCUACAACCUUACAUUAUUCUUGUUAUUUUAAUACAAGAGGAAUACUUAGUCAACGUUUUUUUUAAACAAAGAGCUGAAUAAUGCAAACAUUCAAUGAAAUCUUUGGCAUGUUAAUUCUUUGUAGCUUCAACAUGGUGGCAUGUCAGAUGGCGAAGGCAGCACUUGAGCUUCUGGGUGUUUACCAUUUUUCACUAUGAACGCAGUGUCCAUGCCCCAAGUCUGAUGGCGUUCUACAUGGCAGUGCAUGAACCACACUCCUGCAACAGAGAAAAUAUACCAACAUUACACCUAACUUAUUGC
RNAcentral lists this long non-coding RNA (54745 nucleotides) under Vitis vinifera (wine grape). RNAcentral describes it as "long non-coding RNA (VVIN_LNC007055)". The record is from RNAcentral. Lineage: Eukaryota; Viridiplantae; Streptophyta; Magnoliopsida; Vitales; Vitaceae.